This 70197-nucleotide long non-coding RNA is filed under the name Triticum aestivum (bread wheat). Its description in RNAcentral is "long non-coding RNA (TAES_LNC020338)". The record is from RNAcentral. Lineage: Eukaryota; Viridiplantae; Streptophyta; Magnoliopsida; Poales; Poaceae.
CCUGCAAGUGAACAGUUCUUAAUUUUAAGUCGCAUGUGCAGGCUCAGGCUCUGUCUCUCUCUGGUGUGGCCACAAAUGCUGCAACUCGUGGAAGGAGUUGAAAGUUACAUGGUGAAGGCAUGUAACCUUGCAUGUGCCUUAACGUGUCAAGUGCAUAAUCUUUUUUGUUUGAAAGCGCAUACAUGUUUUUGGUUGUCUUGUCAAGUUGUGUGGAAGGAGUUGGAUUAUCACCAUAGUAUGAGUUGGUUGUCUUGUACUCUAUAAUGUUUUGACAUGUAAUGUCUCGGAGUCGGGUACCAAACGUGGGUCGUUGAAUAAGUGUAAUUUGUACACCUGUGAAUUGAUGUUUUUUCAUCCUUCCAAGACUCUAUAUUCCACCUGAUAUUUUGUUAAUUCAUGGCUAUUACUGCUUACAACCAUUUAUGGUUAUAUUCAUUUUUUGUUGUUUUGAUGAUAUAUACUCCUUUUUUUUGCGAAAAGAUAUAUACUUCUUACUUGAAUUACUACAUGUUACUCUCUAAUCACGCUCGGCUCACUGUAUAAUUUAUCAAGUUGGCUAGUUUGGUGGUAACAUUAUCUAGUUUUAUGUUUAUGAAUUUGUAUAAUGUUUUUUAGUUACUUAAUUUACUGACUAACACUUGUUCGAUGCACAAAUGUAAGUUCUAUGGUGAGAGAGAAUAAUGACACUCUGUAGUACAACUCAAAAUGGUAGUAGAAUAUCGAAGAGUAGUACAGAACUGAAGAUGCAUAACCGGCAUUACAGUUUUGCUCUUGCAACACCAAUGUUUUCGUGAUAUAUGGUGGGGGGAAUGUACACUUGAUCCAAUAAACAUCAAAGUACCACUUUAGAAAAAAUGGAAAGGGUUCUUAUGUCUUCCUGGGAAGACCUUUUCCCUACGGUCCAUGUUACUAAAUUGGCUAGAGAUUUAUCUGAUCAGAAUCCUUUGAUCCUGGAGAGUGGGGUGUCUCAGCUUAGUGAGAAGAAGACCAGAGAAUGAUUUGAUGUCUCUUGGUUAAAGCAUGAAUAUUUUCUUCCUAUUAUUAAAAAAAUAGAGACAAAAUGUUACUAGCUCUGAUACUAUAGAUAUUUUGAAUAUUAAGCUCAAGAGAUUUUAAAAAUGUUUUAAAGGGUGGGGAUGAAGGGGAGCCUUGGGGCAGUGCUAAAUUUUUGCCUUGUGAGGUCACGGGUUCGAGUCCUGAAAACAGCCUCUUGUACAAAUGUAAAGAAAUGUUGCGUACAAUAGACCCAAAGUGGUCGGACCGAGAAAUUAACUCCUGUAGAUGUGGAGGCUUAUAACUGCAAAGUUGAAAUUCCUUCAGAAUUAUAUGAACUGUAUGCUGAUGAAGAGGUACAGUGGUUGCAAUAUUUCAAUGAUAGAUGGCUCUUAAAAGGAGACAAUGACACUACUUUUUAUCCUAGAGUUGUUAAUGGGAAGAGGAGGGGAAAAAAGCAUUUACUCUCUUGAUAAUAAUGGGGUGGUAAUAUCCUAAAGCUUGCCACUGAGUACUAUAAGGACUUGUUAGGUUCUGCCCCUAGAUGAUUCUGGAAAAAUGUCUACUAGUGAUAAUGCUACUCUUACUAGACCUUUUUUCUGAGGAAGAGGUAAAACAUGCUAUUUUUUCAAUGGAUAGUAAUAGAGCUCCUCGACCUGAUAACAUCCCCCAUUGAAUUUUUUCAAUGUUAUCGGGAGUUUAUUAAGGGUCAUAUUAUGCAUAUCUUUGAUGAUUUUUUAGGGGAGGCUGGAUGUUCAAAGGCUUAACUAUGGAGUCAUAACUCUUAUUCCUAAGCUGACUGAGGUAAAUUCCAUACAACAAUUUAGACCUAUUUGCCUAUUUAGAUGCAUGUAUAAGUGGAUUACCAAAAACCCUGAUAUUAGGAGUGAUCCUUUUGCUCAUAAGUUGUUUAGUCCACAACAAAAUUCUUUUAUUAAGAAUCAUAAUAUUGUUGAUGAGACUCUUUCCUUACAUGAAAUUAUGCAUCAUGCACAUGUUAAGAAAUGGGAGGGGGUCAUGCUCAAAUUAGACUUUGAAAAGGCCCAUGAUAAGAUCAAUUGGGAUUUCUUACUUGCUGUCCAUAGAGUUCGUGGUUUUAAUGAUAAAUGGUGUUUGUGGGUUAAACACAUUCUCAAUAAUGGCAUUGUUUCAAUCAAGAUUAAUUAUCAGAUUGGUCCAUACUACCAAAGUGCAAAAGCGGUCCGUCAAGGGGCCCCUAUGUCUCCUUUUCUUUUUAAUAUGGCAGCGCAAUGUUUUUACCAAAAUGAUAUUGCGAGCUCAAAAAUAUGACUUGUUUGUUGGUAUGGCGCCGUGUUUGAUUGAUAAGGGGGUUGUUGUACUACAAUAUGCAGAUGAUACGGUGAUUUUUUUUGUCUCGUGAUUGUGCUAAAGCUGUCAACCUUAAGCUGUUACUCUACCUUUUAGCAUCGAUGUCGGGGCUUAAGAUCAACUAUUUGAAAAGCGAAAUUUUUGUGGUAGGUGUUGAUAAUGGAGUUGCUAGAUUUUACUCCGAGCUUUUUGGUUGUGUUGUUUCAACUUUACCUAUGAAAUAUCUUGGGGUGCUAGUUAGUUUUGAUGCACUUAAAACUAUCGACUGUGAAUUCCUUGUGGGUAAGAUGAUUAGGGGAGUGGAUGCCUCGAAGGGGCAUCUUCAUUUGGGGGCAGGCUUAUUUUGGUCAAUUCUUGUUUGUCUGGUAUCCUUUCUUUGAUCAUGUCUAUGUUUUUGUUAAAUAAGACUACCCUAAAUAAGCUUAACAAACCCACAUGAAGCUUCUUUUAGCAAGCUGGGAGACUUAAGAAGAAAAUUCAUAUGGUCAGAUGGAAUGUGAUUUGUUGCUCGAAAAAUAAAGGUGGGCUGGGUGUUUUGGAUCUUAAAAAACAAAAUAUCAACUUCCUUACUAAAUGGUGGUGGAAAUUGGAUAAUCAGGAAGGAUUGUGGCAACAAAUUGUUCGAGCUAAGUACUUCAGUAAUCAGACGGUUGCCACGAUCAAAGCUCGCUUUUCAGAUUCUCCGUGCUGGAAAUUUAUUUUGAAAGUUAAACAUAUCUAUAUGGAAGGUAGAAAACUUCUUAACAGUGGUAAUUUUAUCAGGCUUUGGCUUAGAAGUUGCUGGAAAAACCUUUGGCUGAUUCUCAUAACGGUUGGAUCUGGAAAGACCCCAUCCCUCUUAAAUUGAAAUGCAUAUGUGGAAGUUGUUUGGAAAUGUUGUGCUAGUCUAAAGAAGAGAAAAUGGUUGGGUGACCCUAUGUGCUCUUUUUGUAAUGUUCUUGAAGAUGCUCAACACCUGUUUUUUGGUUGUGGGGUCUGUAUCUGUUUGGGGCACUAUUGAUAGAGUUACAGGUACUGAUAGCUGCCCAAGGAACUUGUGGCAAAGUUUUUACUUGGUUCUAUGCUUUUCUACUUUAGGGGCACAAAUAAAAUAUGAUGUGUGUGGCUGCUGUUUGCUGGGGGAUUUGGACCCUUAGGGACAAGAUAACCUUUGAGCAGCAUGUUAUGCGAUCUCCCGUGGAGGUUAUCUUCACUGUUUGCUUUUUUAUGAUGUAAUGGGCAGGUCUUCCCAAAAGCGCGGACAAGGAUGUGUUCCAAGUUGGAUUUAGGGUGUUGAUAAAGAAAGCUACGAUGCUCGCUUGGUAGAUGAAUCCACCAGUUGUUGUGUGGGCUUGGGACAUGCUUAUGGGGUGUGAUCGGCUGUUUGAAGGGCUCCUUUGUGGUUGCGUUUUGGUGGAAAUGUUUCCUCGGGAGUGAACUAUGUGUGCUUUGUCUUGUAGUUGUGUUUGUUAGUCUUGGUUUUAGUUGUUUGGUUACAAAACUAGAUGUGUUGUCAGGUUUUUGCCCAGUAAGGGGUGUUUGGAGGUCGAGCACUCGUAGUGGGAUUUCUGGCAAUGCACUAACUCACCUCCCUCUCUUUCCCUCCUCCUUAUCUUGCUUGUGAUGUUUGUGAACUUUUGUAUUUUCGUUAAGCAACUAAUGGAAAGAGGAUGCUCGGUUGGAGAAAAACCACCAAUGUUUUUGCACCUCUCAGCACCCCUUUUGAUGCCUGGGUCAUUACCGAGGAAAUAAGAAGCGGAGCAGAGUUGUUUAUCUCUUGGCCUCUUUCUUCUCGCAGGCCACCACCUCGCCUAAGCAGCGUGGGCGCCAUCGCGCUCUCCACCACCUGACCGACCUGGAUGUAGUCAUCGUCAUGGACCUAAGUAUUUGGGAGUUGGGACUGACAUCGACGGCGGCCGCUAAACGUCCUACCAAAAACUAUUUCGAAGGUGGCGAUACGACUAGGGACGGAAGAUCUUAGUUUUUGGUAGGACGUUUUUGGACCGAAGGAUGGGUGAGCCCUGCUACACAUAAGCACUUCGUCUUCGGUAUAACCCUCUGGACACAUCAACGACCUAGAUUAAAAGAGUACCCCUUCGUAAAGAAGGGUAGGAUGGGAAAUCUAGGUGGGUGCGGGUGGCCAUGGCAUAGCGCGGCGCGCGGCCGUACGGUUCGUUGUACGCCCUUACGUGGCAGUGUACGCCGCGUGAGAAGGAGGGGCGGGCCCACGUGUACUUAACCCUAACCAUCGCCGCCCACCCGCAUUAAUCCGGUGCGGAUUACGCUAAGGCCAUUUACACCGGCGCAGUGGCAAGUCCCAUCGACGGCGCAGUGAGAAGUCCAAUCGCCGGCAUCGGUCCGCGUGCAGCGUCGAUUCACACACCACCGCCUGACCGCCUAGCGCUCGCCGACGGCUCGCGUGCACACGCCACCGCUUUGACCGCCUGCGCACGCUGCCCCCUCGCCUGCCGGCAUUAAUCGCCGGCACCCACCCCCGCGCCCUCCAGACGCCCUAUAAAAAGCCGCCCACGCCCGUCGUCGCUCGCAUCACUCUUGCCUCCCCUCGCCUUCUCCUUAUGUCGCCGGCGUCGCCUCUCGCGCCUUCCUCUCCCUCUCGCCGGCGAUGGCUCGCCCCAACCUGACGCUGGAGGAGGCGGAGGAGCUCACCCACUUCGCCAUCCCUGCCGCGCCCGACGUGCACCUGCCGGCGAGGUGGCGGCUGAGCGUCGAUGGCGUGCCGGUGGCGCCGGUGCCCGAGGUCGGCAACCACCUCUUCGCCCGCGCCGUCGGCCUCUAUCGGACGCGCAUGUCGCUGGAGAAGCUCAAGGACCCGCAGUACGCCCCCAACAACCCCGUGUGGGCGGACCGGCUCGCCGACGACCACGAGCGGCGCCUCCACGCCUACGCCGGCCCGCGCCAGCCCGUGAAGCACAACCGCGCGCGGCGGCACCAUCUCUCGAACGGGCGCACGUUCGAGGAGGUCGUCGCACCGUACCGCACGCAGGCGGCCGCCGGUGCCGUGCUCGCCCCGACGAGCUAUGACUACACUCUCUUCCGCCGCGGCGAGGCGCGCUCCACCCGCGCCUGCGUCGACUUCGGCGACCGCGAUCGCCGCACCAUGGCGAGGAACGGCGCCGGGUCCAGCCGCGCCCCUCCGCCCGAGCCAGAGCAGCAGCCAAAGUCGGCGUUGCUAGCAGAGUACAGGCGGCUGGCGGCGGAGGCCGACGACCCGGACGACAUGCCGGGUUACCUGACGGCGGUCUGGGAGUCGGAGAGCGUGCCGCAGCCGCCCCCUCAGGUCCAGAGUACAUGCAGCUCGCCCUGGUCGCCGUCCACCCGGAGGACCCGCCGGACUUCCACGGCUACCACGCCGCGGUGGCGGACUCGAUAGCUGCGCCGGCUGCGCCCGUGGCGCCCGUGGUGCCCCUCGACGACAGCAGCAGCAACAACGACAACGACGAUGGCGACGGGCUCUACGACGAGGCAGACUUCGGCGGCGUCGAAGACGAGUAGUUUAGUUUAGUUUCGAAAUGUCGUUUAGUUAUGUUUAAUUAUUUUCGUAAUGUCGUUUUGUUAAGUUUAAUUUCUGGUUAUGUAAAAUAUUUCCAAAAACUAGAAUGAAAUAUCGAGUGCUUGAAUGAAUGUUGUUAAAAAAUUGUUCAAAUUGUUUGACCGUUAUUUAAAAAUGUAUUAUUUUAAAUAAUAAUUGUAAAGUUGAAAUGCAAAAAAAGUUAAAAACAUAAAAGAUUGAUUAUAUAAGAAAUAAAAUUUGAAAAUUAGAAAAACAAAUAAAAAAUAAAAAAUAAAAAUAUAAUAUUAGCAAAAGAGAAUCAAAAGAAAUUAAAAAGAAGAUCACCGGCCCGGAGCCGGGCAGGGCGUACUAGGCCGAUCCCGAUCCCGAUCAAGCGACGGCAAAAGGGAACGCUUUUCGGCCCCGCAAGGCCCACAGGCCCAACUAGGCGGUGAAGAGAGAGUAGGCGAGGCAGUGUUUUUAGAAGGAGUACGACGGGUAGGGCGGUGCGUGCUAUUUAAGCCAGUGCGGGCGAGCUUCGGUAGGCGAGGUGGGACUAAAAUUAGAGCUCGCCUCGGGCGACGCUGCGCGUAUCGCCGAGAUGGACUAUCGGGGGUUUGGUGCGAUAUAUGCCAAAAGAUGACUUAUCAUGGUGGGGGCGAGUAGAACGUCGCCGGUGCCUGGAAACGGGAUGAGGCGAAGGCAUGCACGCCGGCAAAUCUUACCCAGCUUCAGGGCUCUCCGGGGAGAUAAUACUCCUACUGCUGCUCUACGGGGUCUCCGCAUGAUCACUAUGGCAAAGUGUUUACACGGUUGCUCCUUGAGUUGUUUCUUGGAGGUAGGAGAGGGCAAGGCUAGCUCUCUCCCUUCUAUAUGAUUUGGCCUAGAGCUAAUGGGUUCCAACCCUUUGCAUGGGUGCCCUGGGGGGUUUAUAUAGGCCUACCCCCCAGGGGUACAAUGGUAAUCCGGCGGGACGCGGGCCCAGCCGUCAGCGCCUCUGGCCUUCGUCUUCCCCGCCGACCGCUGGGGCCCGCCGACUGGCAGGCCCCGCCGACUGGCCUGGUACGGAGCCGACAGGCCGCGUCCGCUGCGGGCGGGUCUUGCCGGCUGCUGAUUACUGUGUCGUGCUUCUGAUGACGCGGGCUUGAUCAUGGGGUUGUGGCAACAGCCCCGCCGCCUGGCGGGCGAUCACUAUUGCCACUCUCCAUCCCAUCUUGAUUAAUGGUGCGUGGGCCUGGGGGAGGGCUCGGCCGACUCCCCCGGGCCGACUCCCGACAGAUCCGACUGGUGGUCCUCUUGCCGUCUCCGGGGGUCUCACCGACUGGUGGGACCCGCUACCUCUGAGCCGUACAGACAAGCCGUCGUGGGUGCAGGAUUCAGUCCGGCGGUGCUGAUGUCAGGGUCGGCAUGGCAACAGUGCCACACCGCACGGAGAUCUUCCAGGGUACGGCGUGAUGUGGCCAUGCCCGCCCUUGGUAAGGGGCGGGAGUGGGCUUCACUGUAGCCACUCUCCCGCCCCGUCCCCCUUGAUGAGGUCACGGGGUUUGUUGGAGUCGCAGCCGACUCCCCGAAGCCGGCUUCUUCGGAAGUCGCCAGUCAGGAGUCGGCUUACCCUGCGGUCGUCCCUGGGACUCGGCCGCGAGUGGUCAGUCGACCGUCUUGCCAUUGACUUCUUGAAGGCGGCUCUUCGUCCUGGGGCCUUGAGGGGCGCAGCCUGCCCCGAUGUCUUGAAAGGUUCUGGGGCUCGGGUUGGCCUACCCGUGGCCCAUUACUCCGACAGUAGUCCCCGAAGCUGAUGAGGCGCCGCGGAUAAUCGGCCGAGAAGCCUCAGCAGUUUCUCCUUCCGGGUGCUCAACACAUGGUCUUGGAUGGACUUCUGCCGGGCCGACUAGAAGGAGUCGGACUCGCUCAACUCGGACUCGCUCAAUUCCGACUCGCACAAUAUUUCGAACGUCGCGGCGGGAUCCAAGUAGCGUGCUAGCUAAGCCUCCAGGCCGCCGCAUGUUCUAGUCUUGUCAUGCGAUGACACGUGGCCGGGCCAUUCUGCCAACCUACGCGUGCGACGGGACAGGCCCAUAGGCGGGGCCCGCCACUACCGCGCCUUGGAGCCAGAGCGGAUCCGCCGCGGCCCCGGCGGACGGUUGGAAUUCUCGUGGAGUUACUGCGCGCAGUAACUUUGCCGUGGAACGUGGGGGUCGUGGGGUCGUGGGCGCAGUAAAUCCCACGACCGCCCCCUCGGCUUCGCAGCCCACGAGGCUAUAAGUAGGGGAAAGAGGGGGGCACGCGCGCUCCUCCUUCCCACCACUCCUCGCUCUCUUCCUUCUCACUGCUCCUCGCUCUCCUCCUCCUUCUUCUUCUUCGCUCCGCCGCGCGCCCAAGCUCCGACGAACGCCGCGGUCGAUCAGCUCACGAUGAGCUCUUCCUCUGCCGCCGCGCCUCCCCCGGUGCGCUCCGGCACCUGGGACGGCUCCGAAGUUCACGACGACCACGUCGAGUUCCUCUGCCGGACUCGUCGGCUCCCCGGCGAGGAUCACGUGCGGGUGCGUCUUGCACCGAAGGGGGAGAUUUUCCCCGCGCCGCAGGAGGGCGAGCGGGUCAUCUUCCGCUUGCACUGCUUGCGCGGGUUGGGGCUGCCGGCGAGCAGUUUCUUCCGAUCCUUCCUGGAGUUCUACGGCCUCCAGCCGCACCACCUCACCCCCAACACAGUGGUGCUGCUGUCCGCCUUCGUGGCCUUGUGCGAAGGCUUCCUCGGAGUCCUCCCCANNNNNNNNNNNNNNNNNNNNNNNNNNNNNNNNNNNNNNNNNNNNNNNNNNNNNNNNNNNNNNNNNNNNNNNNNNNNNNNNNNNNNNNNNNNNNNNNNNNNNNNNNNNNNNNNNNNNNNNNNNNNNNNNNNNNNNNNNNNNNNNNNNNNNNNNNNNNNNNNNNNNNNNNNNNNNNNNNNNNNNNNNNNNNNNNNNNNNNNNNNNNNNNNNNNNNNNNNNNNNNNNNNNNNNNNNNNNNNNNNNNNNNNNNNNNNNNNNNNNNNNNNNNNNNNNNNNNNNNNNNNNNNNNNNNNNNNNNNNCGGCGCUUUCAUCGCCGUGCGAAGGUCGGGGGCCGACAACCCCUUCCCCUCCAUCUCGCUGAUAAAUUCGGUGAAGAUGUGGCAGAGAUCGUACUUCUACGUCAAGAGCGUCUCCACGAGGGGCGACUAGGUCAACCUGUUGGCUUUCAAAGCAGGCCCACCGGCUGGGAGACUGCCCAACUGGUCGUACCGGGCCAAGUCGCUGACGCCCACGAGAUCCGGCGCCAUCGCGCGGCUCCGAGUGCUGACGCAGUCGGAGGGCUUGACUGGUCCAGACAUGCUGGCCAGCUUUGUGGCGCACCGAGUUCUCCCGCUCUAAGGCCGCCCCCAUAUGAUAUGCCAAAUGAGUGGGCACCGCGACCCGAGUCGGAUGUGCACCAAGGACAUGCCUCACGAGGAGGUGGCCUUCAUGGUGAACUACCUCUCGGAUAGCAAGCUCCUGGAGGAUUGGCGGUUCGGCAAGGAGCCGUACUCCCGCGCCAACCCCCCUCCUGUGAUGAGUUACCUUUCCUUUCUUUCUUUGGAUUGUCUUUUUUCUUGCCGAGUUUGUUUUGACCAGUCGGCUUUGGUCAGAUCCCCUCCUCCACCCGCCAGCCGGCACCUCGGGGCCGGCCCGCGAGUUCCUCGCCGACCGGGUGGAGAGCGACGUCGACGAUCCCGAUCUGGGGGCGGCGGCUCUGGAGGAUGACACCGAGGGAGGAGGAGGAGGAGCAGGCGACUUCAGGCCUUCGGCCACUUUCGCCGACUGGCCUGACGACGACGUCGAGGGAGAAGUCGCCCCCCGCCAUCGGCCAGGAGCCAGCCAGCCUAGCGCGGGCUCUUCUGCCGCGCCGUGUGCUUUAGGCGGCGGGAAGAAGCGCAGGGCCGUGCUGACCUUGUUCGGAAGUCGGCCAAAGAAGCCCAAGGGUUUGGCUGCGGCGACCCGGCGGGACGAGGCAGCUGCGAAGGCCAUCCGCUUCCGUAAGGAAGUGAAGAAGCCGCCAUUGGUCUCCGCGUGAGUAUUCUGUCUUAAUGCUUUAUUUUUCUUUGUGGCUUUGUCUGAGUCUUUGCUUGCUCCCCUUGCUUCAGGGCUCCCCUCACUCUUGAGAGGCUCACCGCCGCCUCCAUCAUGGGGUCGGCGGAGACGUCCGCCAUCACUCGGCGGAUUGACCCCGCUGCUGACCUCCGGGAGGCGACAGAGCGGAAUGUGCAGGAGAAGCGCAAUGAAGAAGAGGCCGUUCACCUGGAGAAGGAGGAGGCCGAUAGGGCGGAGGCCUCCGCCAAGAAAAAACUGGCGGAGGCCGAAGCCGCCGCCGCGACAAAGCGGCAGGCUGAGGAGGCCGCACGCCGCCAAUCGGCGGUGUUCGUCACCCCGUUGAACUCUGCGCCGCCGCCUCCGGAGUUCAUGGGGCAGACUGGGCAAGCCGGCGGCGAGAACCCCGCCGUGGAGAGGGAAGGCGGCGACCCUUCUACGCCGGACGUGAUCGUUCCGCCGCCGUCUGAGGGAGCGCAAGGCAAGCAGCCAGCAGACCCUCCGGUACCGCCGACCAAAGACGAGGCCGUGGCGAGGUUGCUCCUCCAAGUCGGCUCGCCGACGCGCCGCCGUAUGGAGAAGGCGACUUCGGCACCCCGCCCCCUGGAGGCCGGCACCGCCAGCUCGGCGAUCCCAGACGCCGAAGCGACGAGCGCCGCGCCCAUUGGGUGGGUGCGAGGAGGCGGCACAGGGACGCUAAACCAGGCGCUUCUGGACGUCCAGGCGAAGCUUCGUGCCGAGGGUGAUGCUCUCCAGAAUUGCACCAAGGUGUACCUGGCGUCGCGGGCAGCCGUCCGGGUAUGUUUUUUCCUUUGGUCCUUGUUUCCUUGUUCCUCUCUGUGGGGGCGCGCCAGCGCACCCACUGGGUGUAGUCCCCAAGUUUUGGGCUGGCUGCUGAGCAGGUGGCCCGGAACUCCAAUUGAUGAACUCUGGGUAUUAAUUUUUUGUCUAAAAUGCUUGACGCAGGAUUACCACAACCUCCGUGUCACUGCCUUCAACUGUAACACUGAAGAGCUGGGCAAGCGGACCGCCGAUUUGUCGGAGAGCCAGAGUAAGUCCUUUUCCUUCUUUGCGGGGAUGCGCUGGCGCACCCGCGGGCUGUAGUCCCCGAGAUUCGGGUCGACUGCUGAGCAAUCGGGCCGGAUCUCCCCGGCGAUCUUCUUUAUUGAUGACUUAACGUCUUCUUUCUUUCUUCUUUUCAGGACCCAAUGCUACUCUUCAACAGCAGCUGAGCGAAGCCAACUCCACAUUGCGCGCCAAAGGGGAGGAGUGCAGCAAGCUCGCCACGGAGCGCGAUCUGCUGGCCACUCAAUUGGCAGAGCAGAAGGAGCUGCUUGUGAAGACGCAGAGGGAGGCGGAAGAGACGGAGACCGCCCUCCUGGCCGAGUUCGCGAGCGAGCGCUCCUCCUGGUCUGACAAGGAGGCGAUGCUGGCCUCCGGCUUCCAUGAGAUUGAAGACAUCGUUGAUGGUGAGUUUCUUUACUUUCUUUCUUCGAGCUGCCGAUUAUAAGUCGUGCCGACUCCUGGUUUUUUACUUGCUUCUUCGUUUCUUCCAUCUUGGCAGACUUCUUUCCUGGGCACUCGCAGGCCGCCAUCCAAGCCAUCGAGGCUGAUCGUGAAGGUCGGAGGGCGGAGGGCGCAGAGAUCGCCGCCGACGCCCCCCGAACCCUUGACGAGCACAUCCUGAGCAUCGAGGCUCGCCUUCGGCCGACUCACCGGAUGCUGCGCCGGCUUCAGCGUCUCGGUGUAUAAUGCCCUCGAUGCGGCUAUAUCUCCCACGUGUCGAAGCAUGACUUAGAGGCAUAACCGCAUUGAAAGCAAUGUCGCAAGUGAGGUAAUCUUCGCAAACAACCCAUGUAAUACAAUAAGGGAAAAGAGAUACAUAGUUGGCUUACAAUCGCCACUUCACACAAUUACAUGACUAAAGCAUUACAUCAUCCAGAUACAAUCAAGGUCCGACUACGGAACUAAAAUAAAAGAAGAACCCCAAAUGCGACACGGUCCCCGAUCGUCCCCAACUGGGCUCCACUACUGAUCAACUAGAACGAAACAACAUAAAGGACAAGAUCUUCAUCGAGCUCCUCCUGAGCUUGGUUGCGUCAUCUGCAUGGACUCCUCGGCACCUGCAAGCUGGUUUUGGAAGUAUCUGUGAGCCACAGGGACUCAGCAAUCUCGCACCCUCGUGAUCAAGACUAUUUAAGCUUAUGGGUAGGGUAAAGGUAUGAGGUGGAGCUGCAGCAAGCGACUAGCAUAUAUGGUGGCUAAACAUACGCAAAAGAGAGCGAGAAGAGAAGGCAAAGCAUGGUCGAUAAAAGUAUGAUCAAGAAGUGAUCCUAGAACAACCUAUGUCAAGCAUAACUCCAACACCCUGUUCACUUCCCGGACUCCGCCGAAAAGAGACCAUCACGGUUACACACGCGGUUGAUGCAUUUUAAUUGAGUUAAGGUUCAAGUUAUCUACAACCGGACAUUAACAAAUUCCCAUCUGCCCAUAACCACGGGCACGGCUUUCGAAAGUUCAAAUCCCUGCAGGGGUGUCCCAACUUAGCCCAUGACAAGCUCUCACGGUCAAUGAAGGAAUAGACCUCCUCCCGAGACAUUCCGAUCAGACUCGGUAUCCCGGUUCUUCAAGACAUCCUCGCCAAUGGUAAAACAAAUCCAGCAAAGCCGCCCGAUGUGCCGACAUCCUGAUGGGAGCUGCACAUAUCUCGUUCUCAGGGCAACACCGGAUAGGUCAAGCUACGAGUAAAACCAGCCCUCAAGUUUCCCCGAGGUGGCCCCGCAGGCUGCCCAUUUCNNNNNNNNNNNNNNNNNNNNNNNNNNNNNNNNNNNNNNNNNNNNNNNNNNNNNNNNNNNNNNNNNNNNNNNNNNNNNNNNNNNNNNNNNNNNNNNNNNNNNNNNNNNNNNNNNNNNNNNNNNNNNNNNNNNNNNNNNNNNNNNNNNNNNNNNNNNNNNNNNNNNNNNNNNNNNNNNNNNCCCUUGGGCUGGCCUAACCCAAGGGAAAAAGAGGCUAGGUGGCGAAUGGUAAAACCAAGGUUGGGCCUUGCUGGAGGAGUUUUAUUCAAAGCGAACUGUCAAGGGGUUCCCAUUAUAUAACCCAACCGCGUAAGGAACGCAAAAUCCAGGAACAUAACACUGAUAUGAUGGAAACUAGGGCGGCAAGAGUGGAACAAAACACCAGGCAUAAGGCCGAGCCUUCCACCCUUUACCAAGUAUAUAUAGGUGCAUUAAUUAAAUAAGAGAUAUGGUGAUAUCCCAACAAGUAAACAUGUUCCAACAAGGAACAACAUCUCCAUGUUCCAACAAGGAACAAACUUCAAUCUUCACCUGCAACUAACAAUGCUAUAAGAGGGGCUGAGCAAAGCGGUAACAUAGCCAAUCAACGGUUUGCUAGGACAAGGUGGGUUAGAGGCUUGGUUCAACAACAUAGGAGGCAUGAGAAGCAAGUGGUAGGUAUCGCAGCAUAGGCAUAGCAAAAGAGCGAGCAACUAGAAAGCAAAGAUAGAAGUGAUUUCGAGGGUAUGAUCAUCUUGCCUGAAAUCCCGCAAGGAAGAAGAACGAGUCCAUGAAGAAGACAAACGGACGUAGUCGAACGGGUCCUCACAAACGCGACGUUACCGGAACCAACCCGAAGAAGCAAACACCGGAAAGGAAGCACACAACAUAGUAAACAACCAACACAAGAACAUGGUAUGAUAUGCGGGAUGCGGUAUGCGAUGCAUAUGCAUGAUUUGACAAGGAAUCAAUGAACCUGGCCUCAACUUGGAAAUCCAAGUGUGCCACUGGAAAGGUGAGGUGAUUCUGCUUGAAAACGAUAUAAAGAUCACCGGAAUCGGAGUUACGGUUUGGAAAUGGCAAGCUAUUCGAAUAUGACAACGGUCUGCGAUAAACAGCACGUGGUCAUCUAAAUGCAACAAGUUAAACAUGCUACAGCACCCAAACAUGGCAACAAAAUACAUGGCAGGGAUCCACUCAUGAUGCUUAACAAAAGAUGAACACUGAGCUACGGCUAAUUUAUCCAUUAACAGGUUCAAACAAGCAUGACAAAAGUGCAAUUGGUAAACAGGUUUCAGACUUAGUGAAAUUAACACAAGCCUGGAAUUUCAGAUCAGAUAGCACUCUUUGGAGCAUGAAAACUAUAUGCUACAGGACCUGAACAUGGCAAAGUAAAGCAUGGCAUGGAGCUACUCAAAGAGCUUAACAAAAGUCCCUUAGUGACCUUGAGCCAAAAGGGAUCAGAAAAUACAAUUGCAAGCAUGUGAACAUGGCAAAAACAUAAUCAGACUCUCAGACUUAGUGAAAAACUGGAGCAUGCAAAUCAGAUAUCAAGUAGGCAUGUUUACGAGAUCGAUGCACUCACUACAGAGCAAGUCAUGACAAUCUAAGCAUACACCCAUCAAGAAUACACAUUAUACAAGUUAGACAUGGCAAGAACAACAACAUAGAAUGCACGGAUCAACUACAACAUCCUCGGCAAAAUCGCUAACAAGUAGACAAUCUGCCCAGAUUCACAAAAUAACAAAAGUAGAGCUCGAUUGACUCAAUCUAGGGUGCUCCAUAAUUGCAAACAAAAACAUGGAUGAAUAGAUCACUAUAAGAUUAACAAAACAUCCUUACUGAUCAUCCUCAAAAGAGGCACGGAUCACUAGGAAACAACAUGAACAUAUGGCAUAUUGAAAUAAACAGAUCAAGGGCUUAGUGGAAUCUCUAAGUCCCUGAAAUCAGCAUUAACGAAUGCACCACUUUGCAAGCUUGUGCUAGUCACCACACAUAUCACAAAAAUACAUGGAUAGCACCUCUAGAAAGAUGACAAAGCAUAUAACAAAACUCAUGUAGAGCUCAUGGGCAUAUCAUGCACACAAUAAUCAUGGCAAAAAUGACAAAUAUCUAAUUGGAGCAGCAGAUCUGACAAUUAUCUCAAAUAGCACUCUUCUAACAGCAUUUCAGGCAUCCAGAUGAACUCAAAUGAAAAUGAUGCAAUGAGAUGAAAUGAUGAGCUCUCUGAGACAAACAUUUUGAUAUGCUAUAUGCAUGAAUCGGAGCUACGGAUGCAAAGUUACGACAUGAUGAACAUGGGCAUAUGAAUCUAAGAAUUUCGGGGACUUAGUGAAAUUAUACCUCCGCGAAAGUCAACGCGGGACGGAGAUAUCCGGGACAUGGGGAAGGAGCCGUUUGGUUGGAGGGAUGGGUGGAUCUGAUUCAUCCCGACGAAAUCUCGCGGGAGUUGGCCGGAGUUGCGCCGGAGACGGAGAAGGAGGCCGGAGACGAGGAGGAGGCCGGAGGAGGGCCGGAUCCGGUGGCCGGAGAGGACGCCGGCGACGAGGAGGUUGCAGGAGGCCGUGGCGAGGCCGAGCGGCGCCGGAGUAGCGCGGUCGGGGCGGCGGAUGGCCGCGCCGGUGAUGGCGCCCGAGGCGGUGAAGGGGCUCGCCCGCGAGCGGGAGGCGGCGCAGGCAUGGGANNNNNNNNNNNNNNNNNNNNNNNNNNNNNNNNNNNNNNNNNNNNNNNNNNNNNNNNNNNNNNNNNNNNNNNNNNNNNNNNNNNNNNNNNNNNNNNNNNNNNNNNNNNNNNNNNNNNNNNNNNNNNNNNNNNNNNNNNNNNNNNNNNNNNNNNNNNNNNNNNNNNNNNNNNNNNNNNNNNNNNNNNNNNNNNNNNNNNNNNNNNNNNNNNNNNNNNNNNNNNNNNNNNNNNNNNNNNNNNNNNNNNNNNNNNNNNNNNNNNNNNNNNNNNNNNNNNNNNNNNNNNNNNNNNNNNNNNNNNNNNNNNNNNNNNNNNNNNNNNNNNNNNNNNNNNNNNNNNNNNNNNNNNNNGGCGGGCGACGGCGGCGGUGUGGGCUCGCGCGGGCCCAAUCUGGGCUCCGCGGGCCGGCGGCGGAGGAUAGGUGGCGCGACGCGAUUCGCUGCGGCGGGCGGUUGGACGUGUCCGGCCGCCGGGCGGACAUGUCCGGCGGCGCGGGGAGGAGUGGAUCUAGGGUUCAUCCGUGAAAUGAUCCGAAAUUUCGGGGAGGGGUGCUCUUUUGUAGGUAGAGGGAGCUAGGAGAGUCCAAAUGAGGUGCGGUUUUCGGCCACGCGAUUGUGAUCGAACGACCGAGACGAUGGAGCAGGUUUAGGUGGGUUUUGGGCCAUUUUGGAAGGGUGUUGAGCUGCAACACACACGAGGCCUUCUCGGUCCCUCGGUUAACCGUUGGAGCAUCAAACGAAGUCCAAACGGUACGAAACUUGACAGGCGGUCUACCGGUAGUAAACCAAGGCUGCAUGACAAGUCUCGGUCCAAUCCGGAAAUGUUUAAUCCCCACACAUGAAAGAAAGGUAGAAAUGACCGCCGGAGGAGAACAGAGCGCCGGAAAGCAAAACGGACAACAGGGAAAAUGCUCGGAUGCAUGAGACGAACAUGUAUGCAAAUGAAAUGCACAUGAUGACAUGAUAUGAAUGCAAGACACGCAACAAGGCAACAACAGCGAAAAACUGGAGGACACCUGGCACAUCGGUCGCGGGGUGUUACACGGUGCCCAAGCGAUUGCCGCCCUGUGGCCGGACAUGCAGGCUCCGCGCACCCCCAGCCUGACGGCCGACUGGCUAGAGGUCGUGGCUGGUCGUCUUGAGGCCUGGAAGGGUUCUUCGUCCCGAGCUGGAGCGCGCCGGGCCUUGGAGUUCGUCAAGGCGUGGUAUCCGGGGCUGGAUCUAGACCGGCUGGCCACGCUUCGGUCGGCGGCCCAGCCGGAGCUGGCAGCUACGGAAGACGCCCUCGUCAAGCGUGCUGCGGCGAUUGCCGAGUACACCGACACCAGCAUCUUCGUCCUCGAGCGAUCUGAAGACGGCGAGGAGGUACCGCCGGAGUGGUUUGGGAUGAACCCGGACUAUGGCGAGGACUCGACGGAGGUGAUUGGCUCCAGCGUCGAGGAGGAGGGCGAGGCGGAGGACGGAGGCGAGACGAAGGCACCAGAAGACGGAGCAGACGGCCAGCCUCAGCUCGACCGCGCCUCCAGCAACGAGCCGCGUGCGACCGACCCGACUGCCGCCGGAGGUGAUCAAACCGAGACUAGCCAGCCGGCCGCCCCGACGCCUGACGCUGCCGCAUCGUCCGACCCUUCAAAUCCGUCAGCUGCUUCCUAAGCUGCCGCUUUACCUUUAUUUUAUCUGCUUUAGUAGUCUUUGAAGAACUUGUUAAUUCGCACAAUUCCACCCAUGGGGUGUAUUUUGAACUUCUGCUCGAAGAUUCGGCCAAGGGCCUAUGCUAUGUAAAUAUAUUUAUCCGAGUUCUAUCUUUUCUUGCUCAUUGCUCUUUUAGCUUUUUUUCUUUGCUGCUUUCUCUUAGUUGCCUGCCUUGCCAAUCGGACAGCCGCUCUGCGGACUGCCGCUGGAUCAAAUGCUUGGCUACUUUGGGAAGGCAAGUACUUAGCCGUUUUUAAGAGUUUUUGAGCAAGUUGAAUAGGAGGCGGCAAUCCGACUACUCGAGAGUCGGUUUGCAAAAAGGCUGAAAGCCGUCUUGACCUAUGUUUUAUGCUUUGAGUCCUUAGCCAUUUUUCAUGCGAAUGCCCAUUCUACCUUACUUCUGCCCACCGUACAGUCGCUCUGCGAGCUGCGGCUUCUGACAGGAGACGGUUUAGGCGUUUACACAGUACUUGUCCAACUGCAGGAAGCAUUUCAUAGUGCAAGGCGUCAAGUCCCCGGGCCGACUUGUCGAGCCCGGUGCCAAACGGCAUAAAAAGGAGUAACAUACUUGCAGGCAUAAUUUUUAUCAUACAGACAAAAGAGGGCAGUCCCCGAGCUCGUCUCGGGGGCCCCGAAGUCUUGGUACUUUAAUACAAAAGGUAGCGUGGUACAUACUACAUCAACUAUAAAAUCUUCGGAGGAGAUUUGCAUUCCAUGGCCGCUCUGUCUCCUUGCCGGAGUCGUCCCUCUUGCGUGCUCGGGGCUUUUGAGCGUCAAUCAGGUAGUAGGAGUCGUUGCCCAGUACUUUGCUGAUGAUGAAAGGGCCUUCCCAAGGCGCCGACAGCUUGUGCUGGCCAGCUGUUUGCUGGAUCAGCCGGAGCACAAGGUCGCCUUCUUGGAAAGAUCUUGGCCUGACCUUCCUGUUGUGGUAUCGGCGCAGGCUCUGCUGGUAGAUGCUGGACCGGCUGAGUGCCAACAGCCGGCCCUCUUCCAGCAGAUCGACACCGUCUUGUCGUGCUUCUUCUGCUUCCUCCUCGGUGUACAUGGUGACUCGUGGGGAGUCGAACUCUAUGUCCGUUGGGAUGACGGCUUCGGCACCGUAGAUGAGGAAGAAAGGCAUGAAGCCGAUUGACUUGUUUGGAGUCGUGCACAGACUCCAGAGGACGGCUGGUAGCUCGUCGAGCCAGCAGCCAGCCGAGCGCUCUAGAGGCUCGAUCAGCCGGGGUUUGAUGCCGGACAGGAUGAGGCCGUUUGCUCGCUCCACCUGGACGUUUGACUAUGGAUGGGCGACGGAUGCUAGGUCCAGUCGGAUGCCCUGUGUUGCGCAAAAACGGGCCAAGGCGCCUUUGGCGAAAUUUGUGUCGUUGUCGGUGAUGAUGCUGUGUGGUAUGUCGUACCAAAUUGUGAUAUCAGCGAUGAAAGUCACGGCAGUCGGGCCGUUCAGCUUCUUGAUUGGCUUCGCUUCUAUCCACUUGGUGAACUUGUCCACUGCAACAAGUAAGUGAGUUAAGCCACCUCGUGCUGUCUUGAAUGGUCCCACCAUGUCUAGACCCCAAACUGCGAAAGGCCAGGCAAUGGGGAUGGUCUUGAGUGCAGAAGCAGGCUGGUGCGGCUUGGAGCUGAACUUCUGGCACCCUUUGCAUUUUUGGACCAACUGCUUGGCCUCUUCUAGGGCAGUCGGCCAGAAGAAACCGUGUCGAAAGGCUUUUGCGACGAGCGCUCUUGAAGCCGCAUGGUGGCCGCACUCGCCUUGAUGGAUGUCUUUGAGAAUUGCUUGGCCUUGCUCUGGCUCUACGCAGCGCUGGUAGACACCAGUGACGCUGCGCCUGACCAGCUCUUUGUUGACUAUGGUGUAGGUUGCCGCCCGGCGUUGUACUUGCCAAGCUGAGGUCUCAUCAGUUGGCAGCUCUUUGCUCACCAGGAAUUUGAGGAUGGGCUGGGCCCAUGAGGGUGCUGCUACUUCUUCGACUGCCAGAACUGUGACUUCGACGAGGGCGGUUGGGCUGGGAGGCGGCGGGUUGGAGUCAACAACCGCUUGCUGGGUUAAUGAAGUCCCCAGGCCGACUGGCGCGGCCCUUGGGUCGAGUUCUGGAGUCUUCGAGUCCGCUGUCGUAGUCCCCGGGCCGGGUUCGACUGUGGCAGCUUUGGAGCCAUUUGCCGAAAUCCCCGUACCGACUGCCGGGGCUCUGGAGUCGGUUCCGACGUCUUCAGGAGGAGUCGGCACAAAAAUGGAGUCUGAUUCUGGUGAAGGCUUGACACACGGCUUGAGGAGGCGUUGAAGGGCGACGCCGGAUGGUAUUGCUUGGCGGGUAGAGCCGAUUCGUGCCAAGGCGUCUGCUUGGUCGUUGUCGUUUCUUGGCACAUGGAGGAACUCGCACCCUUCGAAAUACCCGUUGAGUUGCUGCAUGAGGAAACGGUAACUCACCAUGUUUGCAUCUUUCGCGUCCUAGUCGCCAGAUGACUGCUGGACCACUAAGUCCGAGUCGCCAUAACACAAGAUCCGGCGGAGGCCAAGUUCUUUGGCAAGCCGGAGCCCGUGAAUGAGCGCCUCAUACUCGGCGACGUUGUUGGAGGCGGCAAAGUGGAUUUGUAGUGCGUAUUUGAGCUUGUCGCCUUUGGGAGAGGUGAGGAUGACGCCGACUCCCAAGCCGGUGCGCAUCUUGGAGCCGUCGAAAUGCAUCCGCCAAUGGGUGGAAUCAGGCGCUGGAGGUAGGUACUGGGUCUCGGCCCAGUCGACGAGAAAGUCGGCCAAUGCUUAUGACUUGAUAGCGGUGCGGGGCUGGUAGUGGAUGGUGUAGGGAGCCAGCUCUAUGGCCCACUUGGCCACUUGGCCAGAAGCAUCUCGGCUACCAAUGAUCUCGGCAAGCGGGGCCGUGCAGACCACCGUGAUUGGAUGCUCUUGAAAGUAAGGCUUCAAUUUCUUGGCAGUAAAGUGUACACCAUAGCACAUCUUCUGGUAGUGGGGGUAGUUCUGCUUGGAGGUCGACAGUACUUCGCUCAGGUAAUAUACCGGUCUCUGGAUAGGUAGUGCCUUGCCUUCCUCCUUGCGUUCUACUACAAUGACCGUGCUGACCACCCGGCUGGUGGCGGCGAUGUACAGGAGCAUAGGUUCCUUGGGGGUCGGAGCCGCCAGGACGGGUGGAGUAGUCAGCAUCUUCUUCAACUGGAGAAAAGCUUCGUCCGCCUUAUGGUUCCACUCGAAAAAAGUGGUCUUCUUCAUGAGUUGGUAUAAGGGGAGAGCUUUCUCGCCCAGGUGACUGAUGAAUUGGCUGAUGGACGCCAAGCAGCCGGUGAACCUUUGCACAUCCAGCAGUCGGCUGGGUACCUCCAUUCUCUCAAUGGCCUUGAUCUUUACUGGGUUGCAUUCUAUGCCGCAUUUAGAGACCAGGAAGCCAAGGAGCUGGCCGGCUGGUACUUCGAAGACACACUUCUCGGGAUUGAGCUUGAUCUGGAAUCGGCGUAGGUCCUCAAAGGUCUCCUUGAGGUCUUCCAGCAGCGUUCCGUGCUUUUCUGUCUUCACCACCACGUCGUCUACGUAGACGUGGGCGUUUCUGCCGAGCUGCUUGAGGAGGCACUUCUGCAUGCAACGUUGAAAGGUGGCGCCGGCAUUCCUUAAGCCAAACGUCAUGGUGAGGUAGCAGAAGGCUCCAAACAGUGUGAUGAAGGCGGUCUUUAGUCUGUCAGACGGGUUCAGCUUGAUCUGGUGAUAUCCUGAGUAUGCAUCCAAAAAACUCAACAGCUCACAUCCGGCUAUGGAGUCUAUGACCUGAUCGAUUCUUGGUAGAGCAAAUGGGUCCUUGGGGCAGGCCUUGUUGAGGCUCGUGUAGUCAAUACACAUUCGCCACUGCUUGUUCUUCUUCAGUACCAGGACCGGAUUUGCUAGCCAUUCUGGAAAGAACACUUCCAUAAUGAAGCCGGCUGCUAGGAGUCGGGCUAUCUCUUCUCCGACAACUCUUCUCUUCUCUUCUGAUAGGCGGCGCAGGGGCUGCCUGACCGGCUUUGCAUCAGAUCGGACAUGUAACUUGUGCUCGGCGAAUUCCGUCGGUACACCUGGCAUGUCUUUGGGGGACCAUGCGAAGAUGUCUCGAUUCUCACGGAGGAAAUCGACGAGCUCGCCUUCCUAUUUGCUGUCGAGGUUUGCACCUACGAUGGCGUACCUCUCUGGGUGCUCCGGAUCCAAGGGUAUCUUCUUUGUCUCUUUGGCCGGUUUGAAUGAACCCUCAGCCUCUGACUCUUUUGGGUUGGGCGAUACCUCAGGCUGCUUGCCGGCCAUCGUCACAACUCGCUCAAGGAGCCGCUUCUCGGCCGCGAUUACCAGGGACUCGGCCAGCCGACUGCUCUCAGCUGCGCAAGCAGACGACUUCCAGUAGUCGCCAGCCACAGUCAGAAUUCCUCUGGAACUGGGCAUCUUCAUCUUGAGGUAGGCGUAGUGGGGGACCGCCAUGAACUUGGCCAAGGCGGGUCGGCCGAGUAGCGCAUGGUAUGGGCUCUCGAGGUCCACCACCUCAAACCAAACAGACUCUCGGCGGAAGUGAUCUUUGUCUCCAAAGAGGACGUCCAUCAGGAUCUUGCCGAUUGGUGAGCAGGAAAGCCUAGGAACAAUGCCAUGGAACACAGUUCGGCUGUUCUGAAGCUGUCUUUGCUUGAUUCCUAACUUCUCUAUGGUGUCCUUGUACAGGAUAUUGAUGUUGUUGCCUUCAUCUAUCAAAACUCGCGAGAAACGUGUGGCUUGUCUGUCCGUAGCAAAGGUGGCGUCCAGGACCAAGGCAUAGGAGACCGGACUCGGCAUCACUUCUGGGUGGUCAGCCCUGCUCCAGCUGAUGGGCUUCUCGGACCAGUGCAUGAACACUGGCGUCUCCGACGCUACUGCAUUCACCUCUUGUCGCUGCAGCCGCCUGCUGCGUCGAUCAUCAGCCAUACUGGUAAACACAACGUAGGCUCCGUGCUCUUCAGGGUAUUCAUCUUGUACUGCGCCGACUGGCCUGACAGCCGGCUGCUGGGGCGGAGGCGGAGGCGGCUGCCCAGCAGGCGGGGGAGGCAGGAGGUCGUCUCCCUUAGCGAUCCUGGUGAGCCAGUGGCACUUCCGGGUGGUGUGAUUCGCCGGCUUCGCGCUGCUAUGGAACUUGCAAGGUCCAUCCAGGGUCUGCUCAUAGGAGAAGGCCGGCAACCAGUUUGGCUUGCCACCGUUCUGUCGCUUGGGCGGAGGCUGCUCAUCUGGCUGCUGGGCUUCAACGGUCGUGACCUGCCGGCUGCCGGAAGCCGGCUGCGGGGCCUUGCGCUUGUGGUCGCCCUGCUGUUGUCGCCGGUUGGUGUCUGCCGCCGGAGUUCUUGGAGCUUGAGGGGCCACUUUGCCAGUUGUGCUGAUUUGAAUCUCUGCCUUCAUGGAGGAGUCGGCCGUGGCGUACUUGUCCGCUAGGAUCAGCAACUCGUCGAGGGUUUCUGGCUCGUCGCAGAGGAGCUUGUGCUUGAGGACGGUGCCUUCUAUGCACCCGACUAUGAAGUACUCGAUGGCCUGCACCUCGUGCACGCCCUCACAGGAGUUCCGAAGCUCGGCCCAACGCGUGAGGUAAUCGCGAAUCGACUCGUCGGGGCCUUGCACGCACAAGGAGAGCUAACGAGGCUUGGGAGGACGCUUGUACGUGCUGGUGAAGUUGCGGACAAAUGCUUCGGUGAAGUCGACCCAGCUGUUGAUGUUGCUGGGCUUCAGGCUGUUUAGCCAUGUCCGGGCCGUGCCCUGGAGCAUGAGCAGAACGUACUUUACGACGACACGCUUGUUGCCGUUUGCUCUGCUGACAGCCGUGGAGUAGUCGACUAGCCAGUCUUCCGGCUUCACGGAGCCGGUAUACUUGGGCGUGUCUCUCGGGAGCGUGAACCCUCUGGGAAAGGGCUCGUCCCGAAUGCGGGGCCCGAAACAAGGCGGACCCAGCUCGUCUUCUUCUUCCAGCGCUAAGGAUCGGUGAAAUCGGUCGAUCCGGUGGCGGGUGUCAUUCUCUCCAACUCCCUCUCGGCGGCCAAGGCGGUCGCCGAGAGUCGGAUGGUCAACAGGCGGUGGGGAGACUCGCCUCUCCUUGCGGGGAGGGGGAGGUGGACAGUUGUCCCGUCGUUCCACUGCUCUCGGGCAGCUGUCUCAGUCUCGCUCUAUGGUAAUGCGAGUCCGACUGUGGCUGACAGCCAGCUCCUUAUCUCUUCUUCCUCGGGCGCCGCCAGUCGGCGUCCGAGACAUUGCGCCUUGAUCUCGGUGAAGGUCAUCGUUUGGCCGCUGCGGCGCCUCCGUGCGGCAACCGGCCUCGUUCUGCGCGGCGGCUGCGUCGAGGAGCCGCUGGACUCGCUCCAUCAUGAGGUGACGUUCUUCGCCCUCGAAAUUGUCCAGCUCAUCUGCCGCUGCCUGGGCGGCUCGGAUGUUCUCCGCUGGUGUAGCGUACACAGGGCGGCUUGCCCCAAACAGGUUGGCGAUGGCUACGCCGCGCUGCUGGACCACGCCAAGGUGGUUGGGCCCCACCGAGGCCGGUGAGCCGCCAACGGCGCGAUCCAUCUCCCGCGAGCCAGCUUCUUCGCGCCUUCAACGAGCUGAAGGCGGCGCGCCUCCAACGUCUCUGCGUCAGCGUCUUCCGGAAUGGGCGCAGUUAGGUCUUGUAGCGCCACGCUGAGUGAGUCAUGCGCUCCUCCAUCGGGGAGCUCGUCAUGACUGAUGACGAGCACCUCGGUGACGGUGCUUUCGUUGCUCUCCGCGCGAGGGAGAGGUUCGUCGUAGACCACCACAUUGGUGGGGAACGCGUCGAGCGACGCGGUGUCGGAGUCGACCAGCAUCGGGUCGAUGGAGCCUACGGACUCUAAGUCUACGGCAGGCUCGCCGGAAACGUGGAGCUGGUCGAGGAGGCCCGCGAGGAGGCUCUCGGGGCCGCCCGUGCCUGCGUUGGAUGCAGGUUCAUCGGAGAGGCGAACCUUGCCGACAAGUUCGGCCAGGCAGCUGGUUGCGCAGGCGAUCUCAACGCCGCUUAGCGCGUCGGCGCAAACUCCGUCUGGCGUGUCUGGCUGGCUGCGCUCGCCAGGGAGAACAAGGGUUCCCGUCCAGAACAGGUCUCCGGACGGUGGUGCACCAGGCCCCACGGUGGGCGCCAAAUGUCGGGGGUUUGGUGCGACAUAUGCCAAAGGAUGGCUUAUCAUGGUGGGGGCGAGUAGAACGUCGUCGGUGCCUGGAAAUGGCAUGAGGCGAAGGCAUGCACGCCAGCGAAUCUUACCCAGCUUUAGGGCUCUUCGGGGAGAUAAUACCCUUACUACUGCUCUGCGGGGUCCCCGCAUGAUCACUAUGGCAAAGUGUUUACACGGUUGCUUCUUGAGCUGUUUCUUGGAGGUAGGAGAGGGCAAGGCUAGCUCUCUCCCUUCUAUAUGAUCUGGCCUAGAGCUAAUGGGUUCCAACCCUUUGCAUGGGUGCCCUGGGGGGUUUAUAUAGGCCUACCCCCCAGGGGUACAAUGGUAAUCCGGUGGGACGCGGGCCCAGCCUUCAGCGCCUCUGGCCUCCGUCUUCCCCGCCGACCGCUGGGGCCCGCCGACUGGCAGGCCCUGCCGACUGGCCUGGUACGGAGCCGACAGGCCGCGUCCGCCGCGGGCAGGUCUUGUCGGCUGCUGAUUACUGUGACAUGCUUCUAAUGACGCGGGCUUGAUCAUGGGGUCGUGGCAACAGCCCCGCCGCCUGGCGGGCGAUCACUAUUGCCACUCUCCAUCACAUCUUGAUUAAUGGUGCGUGGGCCCCGGGGGAGGGCUCGGCCGACUCCCCCGAGCCGACUCCCGAUGGGUCCGACUGGUGGUCCUCUUGCCGUCUCCGGGGGUCUCACCGACUGGUGGGACCCGCUGCCUCUGAGCCGUACAGACAAGCCGUCAUGGGUGCAGGAUUCGGUCUGGCGGUGCUGAUGUCAGGGCCAGCAUGGCAACAGUGCCACGCCGCACGGAGAUCUUCCGGGGUACGGCGUGCUGUGGCCAUGCCCGCCCUUGGUAAGGGGCGGGAGUGGGCUUCACUAUAGCCACUCUCCUGCCCCGUCCCCCUUGAUGAGGUCACGGGGUUUGUUGGAGUCACAGGCCGACUCCCCAAAGCCGGCUUCUUCGGAAGUCGCCAGUCAGGAGUCGGCUUACCCUGCGGUCGUCCCUGGGACUCGGCCGCGAGUGGUCAGUCGGCCGUCUUGCCAUUGACUUCUUGAAGGCGGCUCUUCGUCCUGGGGCCUUGAGGGGCGCAUCCUGCCCUGAUGUCUUGAAAAUUCUGUUACUCCGACAUGGGCUGAAGUCUGUGGGCCGCGUGGGCCACCUGGAGGGCACGCGUGCAAGCGGUCGAAGGCGCAUGCCGGCCCAGAUGACGCGGGGCGGUGGGACGGUACAGGGGAGACACACUUGUUUAGUCCCACCUCGCCCGCUGAAGGACGCCCCGACCGGCUUAAAUAGCAGCGUUCGUGCACCCUGCCAUAUAAGAUAGUUAGUAAUAAUUUGAUUUGACUUUACACUGUCCGGGCGGCACUGCCGUUGCUGCCUGGGCAGGUAAAAUCUCAAACGGACUUUAGACUGCGCGGGCAGCGCAGCAGUGCUGCCAGGGACAGUGUAAACUCAAAUCAUAUCAUUAGUAUCUAUCUUAUUUUUGACUGUUUGCUACUCUACUCAAGUUUGUCUCACCUCACUUAAAUUGCAUCAUUAGUACCUAUAUUAUUUUUUAACAUUUGCCACACCUCAUUUAAAUCACAUCAUUAGUACCUAUAUUAUUUUUGACCGUUUGCCACUCUACGCAAGUUUACUCAUGUCAAGUCAUGUCUGGGGAGUGUGUUUCGGUUUCAGAGCAAGUAAAAUCAUAGAAAAUUCUCGAAGGUUCGAAAUGCCCCGAAACUUGGCAUGCUUGAUUUCCAUGAGUGUACAAACGUAUGGAGAAAAAUUGGGUCCAUUUGAAGGAUGUCAGAAAAAAGCCUUCGUUGGGACGGGGCCUUCGCUCCUACCAGAACGACGUGCAUAGAGGAAGGUCAUUUUUUGGCCAUCUUCAGAAUGACCCCAAGUUUUGCGACGGGGUAGGCAUGCCCACCGUAGGACCCCACGCAAAAUUUCAUCAUGUUCCGAGCACACACUCAUGUCGUGUCACGUCCGAAGAGUGUGUUUCAGUUUCAGAGCGGGAAGAAUCGUAGAAAAUUCUUAGAGGUUUGAAAUGUCCCGAAACUUAACAUGCUUGCUUGCCAUGAGUGUACAAAUGUAUGAAAAAAAUUGUGUCCAUUUGAAGGAUGUCAAAAAAACCUCCGUCGGGACNNNNNNNNNNNNNNNNNNNNNNNNNNNNNNNNNNNNNNNNNNNNNNNNNNNNNNNNNNNNNNNNNNNNNNNNNNNNNNNNNNNNNNNNNNNNNNNNNNNNNNNNNNNNNNNNNNNNNNNNNNNNNNNNNNNNNNNNNNNNNNNNNNNNNNNNNNNNNNNNNNNNNNNNNNNNNNNNNNNNNNNNNNNNNNNNNNNNNNNNNNNNNNNNNNNNNNNNNNNNNNNNNNNNNNNNNNNNNNNNNNNNNNNNNNNNNNNNNNNNNNNNNNNNNNNNNNNNNNNNNNNNNNNNNNNNNNNNCUUGACAUGCUUGCUUGCCAUGAGUGUACAAAGGUAUGAAAAAAAUUGGGUCAAUUUGAAGGAUGUCAAAAAAAACCCUCCAUUGGGACGAUGCCUUCUCUCCUACCAGAACGGUGUGCGCAGAGGAAGGUCAUUUUUUGGCCAUCUUCAAAACGACCCCAAGUUUUGCGACAGGGUAGGCAUGCCCACCCUAACACCCCACUCAAAAUUUCAUCAUGUUCCGAACACACACUCAUGUCGCGUCAUGUCCGAGGAGUGUGUUUGGGUUUCAGAGGGGGUAAAAUCAUAGAAAAUUCUCAGAGGUUCGAAAUGCCUCGAAACUUGGCAUGCUUGCUUGCCAUGACUGUACAAAUGUAUGAAAAAAAAAUGGGUCCAUUUGAAAGAUGUCAAAAAAAAACUCUGUCGGGCGUGUACAAAAGUCUUUCCUCGUGGAUAGUCAUACCUUGCAAUACUGAUGCAGAUCAUGUUGUAUCACUCCACAACGAUUGUGGAGUGAUAGAGCAGAACCUGCAUAAGUAUAGUGAGGUAUGGCUACCAUGAUAGAAGACUUGAUGUCAUGCAGCUAUUUAAAUCCACAAUUCGUCAUCAAAACUAGCAAUGUAGGACUAAAAAUAGAGCACUCUCGGCGGUUGGCGCCCCUAGCGGCGCAUAAUUGGUGGCGCACAUACGAAGGCCCGCCCCACCAUGGCCCGUGCACACUGUGGGCCGGCCCGCGCACGCCUUUUGUGGCCAAUGUAGGCUAACUUCUUUUUUAUAAAUAAUUUUAGUACCCCAUUGAUUAUGGAGACUCAUAUGUAGUGGUUUAAAUAGUCACACAAAAUUUUAACGUCCAGUUAUUAUUGAUUUAUAUUAUAUGUAUACGGAUCCAGAUGGUGUAGGUGUUGCUCUGAUUGUUAAACUUUAUUAACAAACAAAGCAACACGUAUAUCAUCCCUUCUGGGUAAGUAUACCCGUGCUAUGAUGUAAUAAUUUUUUAUUGUUUUUAUAGUUGUGAAAUUAUGGGAUAAAAUCUGUAAUGGGUGGAUGCUUUGAGACAAUCAAGGGAUUAAAUUUUCUGUCCGGGUUGAGUGACGAUGCUCUGCCGGCACCCGCAGCCCGUCCGGGUUGAGUGUAAAGUCAAGUCAUAUAAAUUAGACAUGACAUUUGAUUAUUCUGGAGCUGCGGGUUGCUCUUCAUAUGAUUCGAGCAUUGUAUUUGUAAAUAUCAACAAAAAACACUAGAAUAAAAAAUCAUGUAGUGUGAACAGAUUUAUCUCAAAAGAGUAAUGUAAAUUUUUGCUAUGACACUCCAUUAUUUUGGAGUGCCAGAGCAUCAUUUACAAUAGCCUACUGAGGAAAGACCGCCACACUAAAGGAUUUAACAUUGUACGCAGAGGAUAGUAUUUAAAUAGGUGAAUAAGCGUGACCAGAAGCAAUAUGGGACUAAAGGAUUAGUAGGUUGAGCGGUGGCUGUCGUGGCUUUUGCUUCAUGGGCCCUCACAUGUGCGCCGCAAACGGCGCCCAAGUAGCCGCCGUGGGUUGCCUUCCUGGUCCGGCCGUGCGCACCGCGCGCGCGAGCAGUUGUAAAAAAAAUCAUUGGCAAACAAACAAAUGUAGACCGUUUUUGUGUUCUUUCAUGAAGAAUUUAGUAUAAAAUGAAUGUAAUGUCGGAACACACCCAAUUUUUACAUGCGCGUGAGUGACCCCCACUGGCCCCCACGCCAAAUUUGAACGAAAUCUGAGUAUGAACGGACGUUACGUCAUGUCCGGAGACCGUUUUUGUGUAUUUUCACGGAGAAAAUCAUAGUAAUGCAUCGAGUGUCGAAACGAACCGAAAUUUUGCAUGUGUGUUUGUGUUGCACACUGUAGCAUGUGAAAAAAAAUGGUGUCGUUUCAUGACUUUACGAAAGGGAACACCUUGCAGAUGCCCGUCCCCCCUAACCGAUACCUCAGGUUUCUACUUCAACUACAUAUGGACAUGGACGAAACACACCCAACUUUUGCAUGCGCGUGUGACUGACCACCACCUUCCCCCACGCCAAAUUUCGAUGGAAUCGGAGUACGAACAGACGCUGCGUCCUGUCCGGAAACCCUUUUUGUGUAUUUUCACGGAGAAAAUCAUAGUAAAUGCAUCAAGUGUUGAAAACGGACAGAAAUUUUGUAUAUGUGUCUGUGUUGCACACUGUAGCAUGUGGAAAAAAAUGAUGAUGUUUCAUGACUUUGCGAAAGAGAACACCUCGCGUGCGCCCGUCCCCCUAACCGAUACCUCAGGUUUCUACUGCAACUACAUGCGGACAUGAAUGUACCACACCCAACUUUUGCAUGCGCGUGUGAAUGACCCCCACCGACCCCACGCCAAAUUUCAAUGGAAUCGGAGUACGAAUGAACGUUGUGUCAUGUCCGGAGACCGUUUUGUGUAUUUUCACGGAGAAAACUAUAGUAAAUGCACCGAGUGUCGAAACGCAUCGAAAAUUUGCAUGUGUUUUUGUGUUGCACACUGUAGCAUGUAAAAAAUGACGUCGUUUCAUGACUUUGCGAAAGAGAACACCUCGCGGGUGCCCGUCCCCUCUAACCAAUACCUCAUGUUUCUACUGCAACUACAUGUUGACAUGGACAUACCGCACCCAACUUUUGCAUGCACGUGUGAGUGACCCCCACCUUCCCACACGCUAAAUUUCAACGGAAUCGGAAUACGAACGGACGUUGCGUCACGUCCGGAGACCAUUUUGUGUAUUUUCAUGAAGAAAAUCAUAAUAAAUGCAUCGAGUAUCGAAACACACCGAAAUUUUGCAUUUGUGUNNNNNNNNNNNNNNNNNNNNNNNNNNNNNNNNNNNNNNNNNNNNNNNNNNNNNNNNNNNNNNNNNNNNNNNNNNNNNNNNNNNNNNNNNNNNNNNNNNNNNNNNNNNNNNNNNNNNNNNNNNNNNNNNNNNNNNNNAGCAUGUGAAAAAAUGAUGCCGUUUCAUGACUUUGCGAAAGAAAACACCUCACGGGUGCCCGUCCCCCAUAACCGAUACCUCGGGUUUCUACUGCAACUACAUGUGGACAUCGACGUACCGCACUCAACUUUUGCAUGCGCGUGUGAGUGACCCCCACCGGCCCCAUGCCAAAUUUCAAUGGAAUCGGAGUAUGAACGGACGUUGUGUCACAUCCGGAGACUAUUUUUGUGUAUUUAGAAAAUCAUUGUAAAUGCAUCGAGUGUCGAAACGCACCGAAAUUUUGCAUGCGUGUUUGUGUUGCACACUGUAGCAUGUGAAAUAAGUGAUGUUGUUUCAUGAAAAUAUAAAAAAUGAACAAAAAGAACAUAAAUAUGAAAAAUCACGUAGUGUGGACGGAUUUACCUCAGAAGAUUAAUGACUUUUUUUGCUGUGACACUCCAUGAUUUUGGAGUGCCAGAGCAUAAUUUCCAAUAGCCUAGUGAGGUAAGGCCACCACACUAAAGGAUUCAACAUUGUAUGUAGAGGACGGUAUUUAAACAUGUGAAUAAGCGUGAUCAGAAGCAAUGUGGGACUAAACAAUUAGCAGGUUGGGCGGUGGCCGACGUGGCAUCACUAGGUUGGGCGGGAUUGGGCCGGGCCCAGUAGGUGCCCAAAACAGUUUUGUUUUCCAUCGCCGUAUACCGCCACGCACGGCGAAACCUUACCCCCACUCGCCUCGUACGCCACACCGUGCCCUUCGUCGCCCUAUCCCCACUCGCCCCCAUGUACGCCCAUCGUCGUUCAUCGCCUCACAGUGCCGCAAAAAAGCGGCGCGUCCGACUACCGUCAACACCGCACGUUGCUGCAGUUGGUGUCAGGACGCCCAAUAGUCGUCGGCACAUCUCGCCCACAUACGGCUGCCUACUUUCCCUCUGCCGCAGCCACUGCUCGGCGGUUGUCGUCCGGAUCAAGGUGACAUUUUCCCGCCCCGUACAUUUUCUGCUAGUGGUAUUGCGUAGUUAUAUAUAUUAAUGGGGAAAUAAUUUGACAUGCAGUAUCGACAUCGAUGGUGUGAUUCCAUGUUCCAUAGAGAAGUGGAUAAGUCUCGUUGAGAAAUUAACAAGUGCUCAACAAUUUAGGUUCUACGAAACAACCUUGCAAGAGAUGUUAAUCAUUCCAUCAGUACAAAUGAGAGAUUUUUUGCUGCAUUUUAUGAUUCUAGGUUAUAACCCAAACAGCAAAAAAUUCAUGAUACAAGAAGAAACCGGCAGUAAAGGUCUUAUUUCACUUAGAUCGGACGACGUGUUUUCAAUAUUUGGGUUUAAGAAUGAAGGUGAGGAUGUUUUUGGAAUUCUUGCGAUGGAAGGAAAAGAGUUAAUAAAGAAAAUUCUUAUUCAGUACGUUCAAAAAAAUGGUCAGAUAAUGAUAGAUGACUUGAUCCAAAAAAUUGCAAGGAAUAAAUCCACCGACGAUGAGUUUCUUCAGAUGGUUGUUCUUGUUUUGUUGGGGACUAUUAUUACACCGAUGUCGGCUGUUUCCAUAUCAAAGGAGUACUAUGCGUUGGUGCAUGAUGUGAAGCGGAUCAACACGUUGAACUUUAAUGCGUUCACUUUGCAAACUUGUUUGACGGAGAUGGGUAAACUUAAGCAGGACGACCGUGUGAGGCAAUGGCCAUGUGGCAACCUAGCCCUAAUCCAGGUAUGGUAUUAAUUAAUGCUAUUUAAUAUUCCUUCAUGUUAUGCGUUUGUAAUUUAUUUUGUCAUUUGUUUUGUAGUACUACCUCCAUUUCAGUUUACAAGUUCUGCGCGUAUACCUAGGUUGCCAAUUUUAUCAUCCUAAUAUAAACUAUAUAACACAAAAAAUAUAUCUUUUGAAAGUAGAAACUCCGAAGUUUAUGUUGAUAUAUUUUUUAUAAUGUAUGACUUGUAUUAGGUUGGUCAAAUUGACGAUCUAGGGAUACGCGCACGCCCUGUAAACUGAGAGAGAGGUAGUACUUAUAUUGGGAGAAGGUCCAGCCAACCACCGGCCCGAAAUAUGACCCGUUGUCGUUGCAAAGUCCCCUAAUUUAAAACUGGACAUAAUCUAAAGUGGAGAAACAAGACAAGUGCGACCCGGACGAUGGUCGUGGUCAUGGAUCGGUAAUAUUGUAAUGUUUAUUUAACUAUACGUUGAUGAUCCAUUCAAAUUGUUAUGUACUUAUUUUUUCAUUACAUACUGACUUUGCAGAUAGAUGACUGCAUUACGAACGAGUAUAGAAUGAAAAACUUGCAGAGCAACAUGCUGAAAGCAGUAAGAAACCUAGUAAUCGAAAGUCAGGAAAGAGAAAAGUGGAUAGUGUGUCCGAGGUCCCUGCUAACCUAAAGCCUUUUAUGGACCGGUUUAUGAAUGAUAUGAAGGAAAUUCGUAAGGAAUUGGUUCAUAUGCCGGAGUUAUGUGCACAGGUAACAAUUGGGCAAUUAUGGUAUGCACUCUAUUAAAUUCGUUAAAUUGACGAAAAAUUAUAACAUCUUACUGUGCUUACCUUUACAGAGAUUGUUAGAGAAAAUAAAUAAAAUAGGUGUGCGGUACAAACUAGGCACAAUGGCAGAGGAGGAAGAAAAUCUGUUUGGACAGAAUAGUGAGUCCAGGUAUGAAAACAAGUAUCCUAAUAAAGAAUUUCAGUACGAUGACAUACACACACCUAAUGGCUCAAAUGGCAGUGGGAAUUAUGAUUUGGAUUCGAAAGGAGGGGAUUCAUUCAAACUCAGUACUGCUCACUUGAGUAGCUAUAAGGGUGAGAAGAAUAAUCCUAGAGAUGUCCCAAAGUAGUCGGAAAAAAGAGAAGCAUCAUCUUUAAAAACAAAUGAAAUAUAAUCAACGAGAUGGGAAGUGGAACCAAAUGAGCAAGAAGUGUCACAGUGUGACACCCCGAUAGUUAAGCUACAGUAAACCCUUGCUAAUGAUGCCAUGUCACUGCUGUCACUAUAGUUAAUCUCACGUUAGUUCAAAAUUGAGUCAAAAUUCAAAUUUAAAAUAAGGUCAAACGGUAGAAGUUUUCAAACCUUAAAACUAAAAUGUUUUGGAGGUGGAAAAUAAUGUAUAGGUAAUUACGUUGUAGAAUCCACAUUUUUAUAAAAUAUCUAAAUGCACUAAAAUGAUUUAAACAGUAGCAAAAACAUUAUUUAAAUGCCUUUGGUAUUUAAAAAAAUACUAAAAUAUUUUAUUUUGGGUUAAAAACCUUUUGUGGUAGUGGGUUAUUCUGGAACGUUAUUUUAGGAGCUAUUGUCAUUUUUUUACUAAAUGUGGAUCUAAAAAUAAAACAGAAAAGAACAAAAAAACAAAGGGAAUAAAAAAAGAAGAACAAAAAAAGAACACCCCUGGCCCAACUGGGCCUUGGCCCGGCCGACCAACCCAACUGGCCAACCCAACCGGCCCAACCCCCCGCACUCUCCAUACCCCCACGUCCCCCGAACCCUAAUCCCCGUCGCCCCACUCCCUCGUCUCUCCCUUCCCCGCUGAUCCAGAUCGGAACGGGCCGACCUCGCCGCCGUUGCCCGAAGCCNNNNNNNNNNNNNNNNNNNNNNNNNNNNNNNNNNNNNNNNNNNNNNNNNNNNNNNNNNNNNNNNNNNNNNNNNNNNNNNNNNNNNNNNNNNNNNNNNNNNNNNNNNNNNNNNNNNNNNNNNNNNNNNNNNNNNNNNNNNNNNNNNNNNNNNNNNNNNNNNNNNNNNNNNNNNNNNNNNNNNNNNNNNNNNNNNNNNNNNNNNNNNNNNNNNNNNNNNNNNNNNNNNNNNNNNNNNNNNNNNNNNNNNNNNNNNNNNNNNNNNNNNNNNNNNNNNNNNNNNNNNNNNNNNNNNNNNNNNNNNNNNNNNNNNNNNNNNNNNNNNNNNNNNNNNNNNNNNNNNNNNNNNNNNNNNNNNNNNNNNNNNNNNNNNNNNNNNNNNNNNNNNNNNNNNNNNNNNNNNNNNNNNNNNNNNNNNNNNNNNNNNNNNNNNNNNNNNNNNNNNNNNNNNNNNNNNNNNNNNNNNNNNNNNNNNNNNNNNNNNNNNNNNNNNNNNNNNNNNNNNNNNNNNNNNCCCCUCUCCCCCGACCAUGCCGUUCGAUGCCCCGCCGCCGUCGCCGUCACGCGUCCUCCCCGCCGCCUCGCCGUCCCCGUCCUCCUCCCCGGGCUGUCGUCCUCGAGCCUCGUCGCCCCGUUCCCCUGCGCUGCAAGUGAGGCCCGACCUCCUCUCCCCCUCAUCCUCGUCCGCCCCUGUGCGUCGCCGCAGCCGUGCCCGUUGUCGUUGCUGCUCACCUCCGCGCCGGCCACACCCCGCAUCCCCUGCACGCCUCGUCGCCGCGCGCACGCGCCCCGGCCACGGCCUUGGUCGCCCGCCGUGGCCAGCUCCGGCUGUCGCGCGCUGGCCUCGCCCCACUCCGGCCCCUCCUGCUCCUCGCGUCAUUACGUGUCGCCCGCCUGCAGAAGCCUGUUGUCGGCCACUACUCCCUAUGCUCGAUUCCAUCGAGCUACUGGUUCCGGUCGCCGUUGCCGUCGAUGCUCGGGUCAACUCCGGGCACUCCAGCAUCUCCUGUUUGCACCAAACGACUCGCGGCGCUGCCCUCGCUCGAACGCACCACUCCGCCGCCCAUUUUGGUCACCGGAGACCCAAACCCGAGCCCCUUAGCCAUUUUGGCAGUCGUCACCAGCGCGCCACCGCGCUGGAACGCAGGUGGUCAUCGCCAGGUGGACCCCGCGCGUCAGGACCGUCGUUAAUGACUAAUGCGCCCGCUAAUGAACUAGUGACCUCUGGGUCCCACCUCGCCAGUUAAUUAAAAUGGACUAAGCUGUGUUAACUAAAAUGUGUCGCUGACAUCUUGGACCCACCGUUAAAAACAGCCCCCUAAUUAAAACGCGAGACACUGACAAGCAGGUCCCAUGUGUACUGUUGACUAGUUUGACCAGUUAAUUUGCUGACUGGUCUGAUGCAGUGAAUGACAUGUGGGCCCCAUUGACCCCGUUGACCAGUCAACCUUGACUGGUCAACUUCUGACCGUACAUGCUGACUCAGCCCCUGGACCCCACUGGUCAUACACAUAGACUAGCGAAUACCCUAGUAACAAAAGUAUUAGGGAUUAAAAUUCUAAUUGAAUAAUUCCAGAAAUUUAGAAAAUGAUUUAAAACUUUGAAAAUUAAUAGACAAAAAAACCAUACCUCGGAUGAAAAUACUUUGUACAUAAAAGUUCAUUAGAAAAAUGAGACGAAUCCCGAUACGCAGCCUGUUCGUCCGCCACACAUCCCUAGCAUAGCUAACAUGCAACUUUCCUCCUCCGGUUCGUUUGUCGAAAAUGCGAAGCACCGGAGAUACUUUCCCGGUUGUCCCCCCCCCUCGCCGGUAUCACCUCCUACUGCAUUAGGGCACACCUAGCACCAUUACUUGUCAUGUCAUGCAUCGAUAUGCAUCUGUUUGCAUCGUAUUCAUUGUUUCUUCCCCCUAUUCUCUCCGGUAGACUACGAGACUGACGCCACUGCUGGUGCCCCGGUCGACUACGUUGUUGAUGACCCCUACUUGCCAGAGCAACCAGGCAAGCCCCCUCCCCCUUGAUCAACCCGAUAUCGCCUAUUCUUCUCUCUACUGCUUGCUGAUACGUCUCCAACGUAUCUAUAAUUUUUGAUUGUUCCAUGCUAUAUUAUAUUCUGUUUUGGACAUUAUUGUGCUUUAUUAUACACUUUUACAUUAUUUUUGGGACUAACGUACUAACCGGAGGCCCAGUCCAGAAUUGUUGUAUUUUUGCCUAUUUUAGCGUUUCGAAGAAAAGGAAUAUUAAACGGAGUCCAAACGGAAUGAAACCUUCGGGAACGUGAUUUUUGGAACGAACAAGGUCCAGGAGACUUGGACCCUACGUCAAGCAACCAACAGGGAAGCCACGAGGUAGGGGGGAGCGCCUACCCCCCCCCCCCGGCGCGCCCUCCACCCUCGUGGGCCCCCUGUUGCUCCACCGACAUACUUCUUCCUCCUAUAUAUACCUACGUACCCCCAAACGAUAAGAUACGGAGCCAAAACCCUAAUUCCACCACCGUAACUUUCUGUAUCCACGAGAUCCCAUCUUGGGGCCUGUUCCGGAGCUCCGCCGGAGGGGGCAUCGAUCACGGCGGGCUUCUACAUCAACACCAUAGCCCUUCCGAUGAAGUGUGAGUAGUUUGCCUCAGACCUUCAGGUCCAUAGUUAUUAGCUAGAUGGCUUCUUCUCUCUUUUUGGAUCUCAAUACAAAGUUCUCCCCCUCUCUUGUGGAGAUCUAUUCGAUGUAAUCUUUUUUUGCGGUGUGUUUGUUGAGACCGAUGAAUUGUGGGUUUAUGAUCAAGUUUAUCUAUGAACAAUAUUUGAAUCUUCUCUGAAUUCUUUUAUGUAUGAUUGGUUAUCUUUGCAAGUCUCUUCGAAUUAUCAGUUUGGUUUGGCCUACUAGAUUGAUCUUUCUUGCAAUGGGAGAAGUGCUUAGCUUUGGGUUCAAUCUUGCGGUGUCCUUCCCCAGUGAUAGUAGGGGCAACAAGGCACGUAUUGUAUUGUUGCCAUCGAGGAUAACAAGAUGGGGUUUUCAUCAUAUUGCAUGAGUUUAUCCCUCUACAUCAUGUCAUCUUGCUUAAAGCGUUACUCUGUUCUUAUGAACUUAAUACUCUAGAUGCAUGCUGGAUAGCGGUCGAUGUGUGGAGUAAUAGUAGUAAAUGCAGGCAGGAGUCGGUCUACUUGUCUUGGACGUGAUGCCUAUAUACAUGAUCAUACCUAGAUAUUCUCAUAACUAUGCUCAAUUAUGUCAAUUGCUCAAUAGUAAUUUGUUCACCCACCGUAAAAUACCUAUGCUCUUGAGAGAAGCCACUAGUGAAACCUAUGGCCCCCAGGUCUAUCUUCAUCAUAUUAAUCUUCCAACACUUAGUUAUUUUCAUUGCUUUUAUUAAUCUUCCAAAAAUAUUAUCUUAUCAUAUCUAUCAGAUCUCACUCUCGUAAGUGUCCGUGUAGGGAUUGACAACCCCUUAUCGCGUUGGUUGCGAGGAUUUAUUUGUUUUGUGUAGGUGCGAGGGACUGGCGCGUAGCCUCCUACUGGAUUGAUACAUUGGUUCUCAAAAACCAAGGGAAAUACUUACGCUACUUUGCCGCAUCACCCUUUCCUCUUACGGGGGCAAACCAGUGCUCAAGAGGUAGCACUUGCAUUAGAGUAGUGUAGCAUGUUACUGCUUUUGGUUAAUCCUAUUCUAUUGCAUAGCCUGUCAUUGUUGCUACAGUUGUUGAUACCUUACCUGCAAUGCUAAAUGCUUAGUAUAGUUUGCUAGUUCAUCAUCAGUGACCCUACGUUCUUGUCCGUCUGCCAUGCUAUACUAUCGGGUCGUGAUCACUAGGGAGGUGAUCACGGGUUUAUACUAUAUAUCUUAUACUUGAUAGAUCUGAUGACUAAAGAUGGGUCGGCUCGUAGAGUACCCGCGAGUGAUUCAUGGAUUGGGGGCUGAAAGGACCUUUGUCCCGACGACCCUCUGGGUGGAUCUUUGUGGUGGAGCGACAGGGCAGGUUGAGACCACCUAGGAGAGAGGUGGGCCUGGCCCUGGUCGGCGUUCGCGGUUACUUCUAAAUAACACGCUUACCGAGAUCUUGGUAUUUGAUCUGAGUCUGGCCACUAGACUAUACGCACUAACCAACUACGCGGGAACAGUUAUGGGCACUCGACGUCGUGGUAUCAGCCGAAGCCUUCUUGACGUCAGCGACUGAGCGACGCGCGCCGGGUUGGACCGCGUAACACAACUUCCUUUGUAAUGGAGAUUGCUAGGUCUGCUCACCGGCUGCGUACUAAUAACCCACAGGUAUAGGGGAUCAAUUGUAGCCUCUUUCGAUAAGUAAGAGUGUCGAACCCAACGAGGAGCUAAAGGUAGAACAAAUAUUCCCUCAAGUUCUAUCGACCACCGAUACAACUCUACGCACGCUUAACGUUCGCUUUACCUAGAACAAGUAUGAAACUAGAAGUACUUUGUAGGUGUUUUUGGAUAGGUUUGAAAGAUAAUAAAGAGCGCGUAAAUAAAAAGUAGGGGCUGUUUAGAUAAAGAAACAAUAAAAUUAGUAUAGCAAGUGUGGAAAAGUGGUGGUAGGAGUCGUGAGUAUAGCCUCUCCGAUGAAGUGUGAGUAGUUUACCUCAGACCUUCGGGUCCAUAGUUAGUAGCUAGAUGGCUUCUUCUCUCUUUUUGGAUCUCAAUACAAAGUUCUCCACCUCUCUUGUGGAGAUCUAUUCGAUGUAAUCUUCUUUUUGCGGUGUGUUUGUUGAGACCGAUGAAUUGUGGGUUUAUGUUCAAGUCUAUCUAUGAAUAAUAUUUGAAUCUUCUCUGAAUUGUUUUAUGUAUGAUUGGUUAUCUUUGCAAGUCUCUUCGAAUUAUCCAUUUGGUUUGGCCAACUAGAUUGGUAGUUCUUGCCAUGGGAGAAGUGCUUAGCUUUGGGUUCAAUCUUGCGGUGUCCUUUCCCAGUGACAGAAGGGGCAGCAAGGCACGUAUUGCAUCAUUUCCAUCGAGGAUAACAAGAUGGGGUUUAUUUCAUAUUGCAAGAAUUUAUCUCUCCACAUCAUGUCAUCUUGCUUAAGGCGUUACUCUGUUUUUAACUUAAUACUCUAGAUGCAUGCUGGAUAGCGGUCGAUGAGUGGAGUAAUAGUAGUAGAUGCAGAAUCGUUUCGGUCUACUUGUCACGGACGUGAUGCCUAUAUACAUGAUCAUGCCUAGAUAUUCUCAUAACUAUGCUCAAUUCUAUCAGUUGCUCAACAGUAAUUUGUUCACCCACCGUAGAAUACUUAUGCUCUUGAGAGAAGCCACUAGUGAAACCUAUGGCCCCUGGGUCUAUUCUCAUCAUAUCAAUCUCCAUCACUUUAAUCUUGCUUUGCUUUUUUACUUUGCUUUUACUUUUCACUUUGCAUCUCUAUACCAAAAAUACCAAAAAUAUUAUAUCUAUCAGAUCUCACUCUCGUAAGUGACCGUGAAGGGAUUGACAACCCCUAAUCGUGUUGGUUGCGAGUAGCUAUCGUUUUGUGCAGGUACUGAAGGAAAUAUGCCCUAGAGGCAAUAAUAAAGUUAUUAUUUAUUUCCUUAUAUCAUGAUAAAUGUUUAUUAUUCAUGCUAGAAUUGUAUUAACCAGAAACAUAAUACAUGUGUGAAUACAUAGACAAACAGAGUGUCACUAGUAUGCCUCUACUUGACUAGCUCGUUAAUCAAAGAUGGUUAUGUUUCCUAACCAUGAACAAGGAGUUGUUAUUUGAUUAACGAGAUCACAUCAUUAGGUGAAUGAUCUGAUUGACAUGACCCAUUGCAUUAGCUUAGCACCCGAUCGUUUAGUAUGUUGCUAUUGCUUUCUUCAUGACUUAUACAUGUUCCUAUGACUAUGAGAUUAUGCAACUCCCGUUUGCCGGAGGAACACUUUGUGUGCUACCAAACGUCACAACGUAACUGAGUGAUUAUAAAGGAGCUCUACAGGUGUCUCCAAAGGUACAUGUUGGGUUUGCGUAUUUCGAGAUUAGGAUUUGUCACUCCGAUUGUCGGAGAGGUAUCUCUGGGCCCUCUCGGUAAUGCACAUCACAUAAGCCUUGCAAGCAUUGCAACUAAUGAGUUAGUUGUGAGAUGAUGUAUUACGGAACGAGUAAAGAGACUUGCCGGUAAUGAUAUUGAACUAGGUAUUAAGAUACCGAUGAUCGAAUCUCGGGCAAGUAACAUACCGAUGACAAAGGGAACAACGUAUGUUGUUAUGCGGUCUGACCGAUAAAGAUCUUCGUAGAAUAUGUAGGAGCCAAUUGAGCAUCCAGGUUCCGCUAUUGGUUAUUGACCGGAGACGUGUCUCGGUCAUGUCUACAUUGUUCUCGAACCCGUAGGGUCCGCACGCUUAAGGUUUCGAUGACAGUUAUAUUAUGAGUUUAUGAGUUUUGAUGUACCGAAGUUAGUUCGGAGUCCCGGAUGUGAUCACGGACAUGACGAGGAGUCUCGAAAUGGUCGAUACAUAAAGAUUGAUAUAUUGGACGGCUAUAUUCGGACACUGGAAGUGUUCCGGGUGAUUUCGGAGAAAAUCGGAGAGCCGGAGGGUUACCGGAACCCCCCCCCCGGGAGAAGUAAUGGGCCAUAUGGGCCUUAGUGGAGGGAGAGAGGGGCAGCCAGAGGUGGGCCGCGCGCCUCCUCCCCCCUGGUCCGAAUUGGACUAGGAGAGGGGGUGGCGCCCCCCCCUUUCCCUCUCCCUCCCCACUUAUUUCCCCCUCCUAGUAGGAUUCCUACUCCUACUAGGAGGAGGACUCCUCCUGGCGCGCCUAUAGGGGCCGGCCUCCUCCCCUUGCUUCUUUAUAUAUGGGGGCAGGGGGCACCCCUAGACACACAAGUUGAUCCACGUGAUCAUAUUCUUAGCCGUGUGCGGUGCCCCCCUCCACCAUAUUCCACCUCGGUCAUAUUGUAGCGGUGCUUAGGCGAAGCCCUGCGAUGGUAGUACAUCAAGAUCGACACCACGCCGUCGUGCUGACAGAACUCUUCCCCGACACUUUGCUGGAUCGGAGUUCGGGGAUCGUCAUCGAGCUGAACGUGUGCUAGAACUCGGAGGUGCCGUAGUUUCGGUGCUUGAUCAGUCGGGCCGUGGAGACGUACGACUACAUCAACCAAAUGCUUCCGUUGUCGAUCUACAAGGGUACGUAGAUCAUACUCUCCCCUCUCGUUGCUAUGCAUCACCAUGAUCUUGCGUGUGCGUAGGAAUUUUUUUGAAAUUACUACGUUCCCCUACAGUGGCAUCCGAGCCUAGGUUUUACAUGUUGAUGUUAUUUGCACGAGUAGAACACAAGUGAGUUUUGGGCGAUAUAAGUCAUACUACUUACCAGCAUGUCAUACUUUGGUUCGGUGGUAUUGUUGGACGAAGCGGCCCGGACCGACAUUACACGUACGCUUACGCGAGACCGGUUCUCCCGACGUGCUUUGCACAUAGGUGGCUUGCGGGUGACAGUUUCUCCAACUUUAGUUGAACCGAGUGUGGCUACGCCCGGUCCUUGCGAAGGUUAAAACAGCACCAACUUGACAAACUAUCGUUGUGGUUUUGAUGCGUAGGUAAGAUUGGUUCUUGCUUAAGCCCGUAGCAGCCACGUAAAACUUGCAACAACAAAGUAGAGGACGUCUAACUUGUUUUUGCAGGGCAUGUUGUGAUGUGAUAUGGUCAAGACAUGAUGCUAAAUUUUAUUGUAUGAGAUGAUCAUGUUUUGUAACCGAGUUAUCGGCAACUGGCAGGAGCCAUAUGGUUGUCGCUUUAUUGUAUGCAAUGCAAUCGCGCUGUAAUGCUUUACUUUAUCACUAAGCGGUAGCGAUAGUCGUGGAAGCAUAAGCUUGGCGUGACGACAACGACGCUAAGAUGGAGAUCAAGGUGUCGCGCCGGUGACGAUGGUGAUCACGACGGUGCUUCGAUGGAGAUCACAAGCACAAGAUGAUGAUGGCCAUAUCAUAUCACUUAUAUUGAUUGCAUGUGAUGUUUAUCUUUUAUGCAUCUUAUCUUUCUUUGAUUGACGGUAGCAUUAUAAGAUGAUCUCUCACUAAUUAUCAAGAAGUGUUCUCCCUGAGUAUGCACCGUUGCGGAAGUUCUUCAUGAUGAGACACCACGUGAUGAUCGGGUGUGAUAGGCUCUACGCUCAAAUACAACGGGUGCAAAACAGUUGCACACGCGGAAUACUCAGGUUAUACUUGACGAGCCAAGCAUAUACAGAUAUGGCCUCGGAACACGGAGACCGAAAGGUCGAGCGUGAAUCAUAUAGUAGAUAUGAUCAACAUAAUGAUGUUCACCAAUGAAACUGCUCCAUCUCACGUGAUGAUCGGACAUGGUUUAGUUGAUUUGGAUCACGUAAUCACUUAGAGGAUUAGAGGGAUGUCUAUCUAAGUGGCAGUUCUUUAAGUAAAUUAAUUGAACCUAAAUUUAUCAUGAAACUUAGUACCUGAUAGUAUCUUGCUUGUUUAUGCUUGAUUGUAGAUAGAUGGCUCGUGCUGUUGUUCCGUUGAAUUUUAAUGCGUUCCUUGAGAAAGCAAAGUUGAAAGAUGAUGGUAGCAAUUACACGGACUGGGUCCGUAACUUGAGGAUUAUCCUCAUUGCUACACAGAAGAAUUACAUCCUGGAAGCACCGCUGGGUGCCAGGCCUACUGCUGGAGCAACACCAGAUGUUAUGAACGUCUGGCAGAGCAAAGCUGAUGACUACUCGAUAGUUCAGUGUGCCAUGCUUUACGGCUUAGAAUCGGGACUUCAACGAUGUUUUGAACGUCAUGGAGCAUAUGAGAUGUUCCAGGAGUUGAAGUUAAUAUUUCAAGCAAAUGCCCGGAUUGAGAGAUAUCAAGUCUCCAAUAAGUUCUAUAGCUGCAAGAUGGAGGAGAACAGUUCUGUCAGUGAGCAUAUACUCAAAAUGUCUGGGUAUAAUAAUCACUUGAUUCAAUUGGGAGUUAAUCUUCCAGAUGAUUGCGUCAUUGACAGAAUUCUCCAAUCACUGCCACCAAGCUACAAGAGCUUCGUGAUGAACUAUAAUAUGCAAGGGAUGAAUAAGACUAUUCCCGAGCUCUUCGCAAUGCUGAAAGCUGCGGAGGUAGAAAUCAAGAAGGAGCAUCAAGUGUUGAUGGUCAACAAGACCACUAGUUUCAAGAAAAAGGGCAAAGGGAAGAAGAAGGGGAACUUCAAAAGGAACGGCAAGCAAGUUGCUAUUCAAGAGAAGAAACCCAAACCUGGACCUAAGCCUGAAACUGAGUGCUUCUACUGCAAGCAGACUGGUCACUGGAAGCGGAACUGCCCCAAGUAUUUGGCGGAUAAGAAGGAUGGCAAGGUGAACAAAGGUAUAUGUGAUAUACAUGUUAUUGAUGUGUACCUUACUAAUGCUCGCAGUAGCACAUGGGUAUUUGAUACUGGUUUUGUUGCUGAUAUUUGCAACUCGAAACAGGGACUACGGGUUAAGCGAAGAUUAGCUAAGGACGAGGUGACGAUGCGCGUGGGAAACGGUUCCAAAGUCGAUGUGAUCGCAGUCGGCACGCUACCUCUACAUCUACCUUUGGGAUUAAUAUUAGACCUAAAUAAUUGUUAUUUGGUGCCAGCGUUAAGCAUGAACAUUAUAUCUGGAUCUUGUUUGAUGCGAGACAGUUAUUCAUUUAAAUCUGAGAAUAAUGGUUGUUCUAUUUAUAUGAGUAAUAUCUUUUAUGGUCAUGCACCCUUAAAGAGUGGUCUAUUUUUGAUGAAUCUCGAUAGUAGUGACACACAUAUUCAUAGUGUUGAAGCCAAAAGAUGCAGAGUUAAUAAUGAUAGUGCAACUUAUUUGUGGCACUGCCGUUUAGGUCAUAUCGGUGUAAAGCGCAUGAAGAAACUCCAUACUGAUGGACUUUUGGAACCACUUGAUUAUGAAUCACUUGGUACUUGCGAACCGUGCCUCAUGGGCAAGAUGACUAAAACACCGUUCUCCGGUACUAUGGAGAGAGCAACAGAUUUAUUGGAAAUCAUACAUACAAAUGUAUGUGGUCCGAUGAAUAUUGAGGCUCGUGGCGGAUAUCGUUAUUUUCUCACCUUCACAGAUGACUUAAGCAGAUAUGGGUAUAUCUACUUAAUGAAACAUAAGUCUGAAACAUUUGAAAAGUUCAAAGAAUUUCAGAGUGAAGUUGAAAAUCAUCGUAACAAGGAAAUAAAGUUUCUACGAUCUGAUCGUGGAGGAGAAUAUUUGAGUUAUGAGUUUGGUGUACAUUUGAAAAUUUGUGGAAUAGUUUCGCAACUCACGCCACCCGGAACACCACAGCGUAAUGGUGUGUCCGAACGUCGUAAUCGUACUUUACUAGAUAUGGUGCGAUCUAUGAUGUCUCUUACUGAUUUACCGCUAUCGUUUUGGGGACACGCUCUAGAGAUGGCCGCAUUCAUGUUAAAUAGGGCACCAUCAAAAUCCGUUGAGACGACGCCUUAUGAACUAUGGUUUGGCAAGAAACCAAAGUUGUCGUUUCUGAAAGUUUGGGGCUGCGAUGCUUAUGUGAAAAAGCUUCAACCUGAUACGCUCGAACCCAAAUCGGAGAAAUGUGUCUUCAUAGGAUAUCCAAAGGAGACUAUUGGAUACACCUUCUAUCACAGAUCCGAAGGCAAGACUUUUGUUGCUAAGUUCGAAAACUUCCUGGAGAAGGAGUUUCUCUCAAAAGAAGUGAGUGGGAGGAAAGUAGAACUUGACGAGGUAACUGUACCUUCUCCCUUAUUGGAAAGUAGUGCAUCACAGAAAAUUGUUUCAGUGACACCUACACCAGUUAGUGAGGAAGCUAAUGAUGAUGACCAUGAAACUUUAGAACAAGAUACUACUGAACCUCGUAGAUCAACCAGAGUGAGAUCCGCGCCAGAGUGGUACGGUAAUACUGUUCUGGAAGUCAUGCUACUAGAUCAUGAUGAACCUACGAACUAUGAAGAAGCGAUGGUGAGCCCAGAUUCCGCAAAAUGGCUUGAAGCCAUGAAAUCUGAGAUGGGAUCCAUGUAUGAGAACAAAGUAUGGACUUUGGUUGACUUGCCCGAUGAUCGGCAAGCAAUUGAGAAUAAAUGCAUCUUCAAGAAGAAGACUGACGCUGACGGUAACAUUACUGUCUACAAAGCUCGACUUGUCGCAAAAGGUUUUCGGCAAGUUCAAGGGAUUGACUACGAUGAGACCUUCUCACCCGUAGCGAUGCUUAAGUCUGUCCGAAUCAUGUUAGCAAUUGCCGCAUUUUAUGAUUAUGAAAUUUGGCAGAUGGAUGUCAAAACUGCAUUCCUGAAUGGAUUUCUGGAAGAAGAGUUGUAUAUGAUGCAACCAGAAGGUUUUGUCGAUCCAAAGGGAGCUAACAAAGUGUGCAAGCUCCAGCGAUCCAUUUAUGGACUGGUGCAAGCCUCUCGGAGUUGGAAUAACCGCUUUGAUAGUGUGAUCAAAGCAUUUGGUUUUAUACAGACUUUUGGAGAAGCCUGUAUUUACAAGAAAGUGAGUGGGAGCUCUGUAGCAUUUCUAAUAUUAUAUGUGGAUGACAUAUUACUAAUUGGAAAUGAUAUAGAAUUUCUGGAUAGCAUAAAGGGAUACUUGAAUAAGAGUUUUUCAAUGAAAGACCUCGGUGAAGCUGCUUACAUAUUAGACAUUAAGAUCUAUAGAGAUAGAUCAAGACGCUUAAUUGGACUUUCACAAAGCACAUACCUUGACAAAGUUUUGAAGAAGUUCAAAAUGGAUCAAGCAAGGAAAGGGUUCUUGCCUGUGUUACAAGGUGUGAAGUUGAGUAAGACUCAAUGCCCGACCACCGCAGAAGAUAGAGAGAAUAUGAAAGAUGUUCCCUAUGCUUCAGCCAUAGGCUCUAUCAUGUAUGCAAUGCUGUGUACCAGACCUGAUGUGCGCCUUGCUAUAAGUCUAGCAGGGAGGUACCAAAGUAAUCCAGGAGUGGAUCACUGGACAGCGGUCAAGAACAUCCUGAAAUACCUAAAAAGGACUAAGGAUAUGUUUCUCACAUAUGGAGGUGACAAAGAGCUCAUUGUAAAAGGUUACGUUGAUGCAAGCUUUGACACUGAUCCGGACGAUUCUAAAUCGCAAACCGGAUACGUGUUUACAUUAAACGGUGGAGCUGUCAGUUGGUGCAGUUCUAAACAAAGCGUUGUAGCGGGAUCUACAUGUGAAGCGGAGUACAUAGCUGCUUCGGAAGCAGCAAAUGGAGGAGUCUGGAUGAAGGAGUUCAUAUCCGAUCUAGGUGUCAUACCUAGUGCAUCGGGUCCAAUGAAAAUCUUUUGUGACAAUACUGGUGCAAUAGCCUUGGCAAAGGAAUCCAGAUUUCACAAGAAAACCAAGCACAUCAAGAGACGAUUCAAUUCCAUCAGGGAUCUAGUCCAGGUGGGAGACAUAGAGAUUUGCAAGAUACAUAUGGAUCUGAAUGUUGCAGACCCGUUGACUAAGCCUCUUCCACGAGCAAAACAUGAUCAGCACCAAGGCUCCAUGGGUGUUAGAAUCAUUACUGUGUAAUCUAGAUUAUUGACUCUAGUGCAAGUGGGAGACUGAAGGAAGUAUGCCCUAGAGGCAAUAAUAAAGUUAUUAUUUAUUUCCUUAUAUCAUGAUAAAUGUUUAUUAUUCAUGCUAGAAUUGUAUUAAUCGGAAACAUAAUACAUGUGUGAAUACAUAGACAAACAGAGUGUCACUAGUAUGCCUCUACUUGACUAGCUCAUUAAUCAAAGAUGGUUAUGUUUCCUAACCAUGAACAAGGAGUUGUUAUUUGAUUAACGAGAUCACAUCAUUAGGUGAAUGAUCUGAUUGACAUGACCCAUUCCAUUAGCUUAGCACCCAAUCGUUUAGUAUGUUGCUAUUGCUUUCUUCAUGACUUAUACAUGUUCCUAUGACUAUGAGAUUAUGCAACUCCCGUUUGCCGGAGGAACACUUUGUGUGCUACCAAACGUCACAACGUAACUGGGUGAUUAUAAAGGAGCUCUACAGGUGUCUCCAAAGGUACAUGUUGGGUUGGCGUAUUUCGAGAUUAGGAUUUGUCACUCCGAUUGUCGGAGAGGUAUCUCUGGGCCCUCUCGGUAAUGCACAUCACAUAAGCCUUGCAAGCAUUGCAACUAAUGAGUUAGUUGUGAGAUGAUGUAUUACGGAACGAGUAAAGAGACUUGCCAGUAACGAGAUUGAACUAGGUAUUAAGAUACCGACGAUUGAAUCUCGGGCAAGUAACAUACCGAUGACAAAGGGAACAACGUAUGUUGUUAUGCGGUCUGACCGAUAAAGAUCUUCGUAGAAUAUGUAGGAGCCAAUAUGAGCAUCCAGGUUCCGCUAUUGGUUAUUGACCGGAGACGUGUCUCGGUCAUGUCUACAUUGUUCUCGAACCCGUAGGGUCCGCACGCUUAAGGUUUCGAUGACAGUUAUAUUAUGAGUUUAUGAGUUUUGAUGUACCGAAGUUAGUUCGGAGUCCCGGAUGUGAUCACGGACAUGACGAGGAGUCUCAAAAUGGUCGAGACAUAAAGAUUGAUAUAUUGGAUGGCUAUAUUCGAACACCGGAAGUGUUCGGGUGAUUUCGGAGAAAACCGGAGAGCCGGAGGGUUACUGGAACCCCCCCGGGAGAAGUAAUGGGCCAUAUGGGCCUUAGUGGAGAGAGAGAGGGGUAGCCAGAGGUGGGCUGCGCGCCUCCUCCCCCCUGGUCCGAAUUGGACUAGGAGAGGGGGGCGGCGCCCCCCCUUUCCCUCUCCCUCCCCACUUCUUUCCCCCUCCUGGUAGGAGUCCUACUCCUACUAGGAGGAGGACUCCUCCUGGCGCACCUAUAGGGGCCGACCGGCCUCCUCCCCUUGCUUCUUUAUAUACGGGGGCAGGGGGGCACCCCUAGACACACAAGUUGAUCCGCGUGAUCAUAUUCUUAGCCGUGUGCGGUGCCCCCUCCACCAUAUUCCACCUCGGUCAUAUUGUAGCGGUGCUUAGGCGAAGCCCUGCGAUGGUAGUACAUCAAGAUCGUCACCACGCCGUCGUGCUGACAGAACUCUUCCCCGACACUUUGCUGGAUUGGAGUUCGGGGAUCGUCAUCGAGCUGAACGUGUGCUAGAACUCGGAGGUGCCGUAGUUUCGGUGCUUGAUCAGUCGGGCCGUGGAGACAUACGACUACAUCAACCAAACGCUUCCAUUGUCGAUCUACAAGGGUACGUAGACCAUACUCUCCCCUCUCGUUGCUAUGCAUCACCAUGAUCUUGCGUGUGCGUAGGAAUUUUUUGGAAAUUACUACGUUCCCCUACAGCUACGAGGGACUUGAGCGUGGCCUUCUACUGGAUUGAUACCUUGGUUCUCAAAAACUGAGGGAAAUACUUACGCUACUCUGCUGCAUCAUCCCUUCCUCUCCGGGGAAAACCAACGCAAUCUCAAGAGGUAGCAAGAAGUAUUUCUGGCACCGUUGCCGGGGAGUCUAUGCAAAAGUCAACAUACCAAGUACCCAUCACAAUCCCUAUCUCUCGCAUUACAUUAUUUGCCAUUUGCCUCUCGUUUUCCUCUCCCCCACUUCACCAUUGCCGUUUUAUUCGCCCUCUCUCUCUAUCCUCCCUCUCUAUUUGCCUCUUUUGCCCGUUUGCUCUUGUUUGCUCGUGUGCUAGUUUGCUUGCUUGUCAUUAUGUCUGAAAUUGUGGAAGUUAUCGCCAAUAUGGGCGAUAACAAUAUCAUGGAAAAUUCUGAUGCUCCUGCUGAAGAACCCCCUACCUACCAUACAAAAAGAUUUCGAAUCGGUAGUGGUAAUAUUAUUGGAAAAGGAGUUACUCAAGAUUUCUUUACUUGUGCCGGUGCUUUGCCCUCUAUGGGCGGUUCUAUUCUCCAUAGAACUAGUAGUCUUGCAGACGCUAUUUCCAUGCUUAUCGUUGAACUUGAAAGACAAUUUAUGCAUAUGCACCCAUCUAUACAAAGAGUUUUCCUAGAAUUUUCUAAUAUCGAGCAUUCCUCUAUUAAGCGUGCCGCUACUAUAUUUUUGGCUCAUGAAUUCAGAUUUAUAAUAAAAGAAGACAAAGAAAUCUUUGCGCACUAUAGGAUGGAUGCUGCUCGUCCUCCCAUAGAAUCUAUCCUCUUUGAUCAAGAAGAAAUUAUGCGCUUUCAAUCUCCUGACUAUGUUGCUUUUAAUGAAAACCUCAGAAAAAGGUGCCAAUCAAUAUUUUAAUUGAUAGAAUCUCUGAACUUAAUGAUGAUUUGGCUAUUCGAAAUAAUGAGCUAGGAUGCUCUCUUGAGUUUAGGCUCACAAGGUUCUGUCAAAAGAAUGCUUAUAAUGAUGAAUUGGUUGUACAAUACGAAGGGCCGAAAGAGGAACCUAUACCUCCUAAAUGGAUCUUGGGGACUUCUGUCCUAUUAAAUUUAGCCCUUUUGAUUACUUUUGUUUGCCUCAAAGAAAACUUGCUGUCGAACGUAGAGAAUAUGAAAUGAGUUUCACCGAUCUAUCUUACUACUACAGCAAUACCUAGAUCUAUCCUCGCUUUUAUGCUUAGUUAGGGGCGUUAAACGAUAGCGCUUGUUGGGAGGCAACCCAAUUUUAUUUUUAUUCCUUGAUUUUUUAUCCUGCUUAGUAAUAAAUAAAUUAUUUAGCCUCUGUUUUGGUUGCGUUUUUUGUGUUUAAUUAGUGUUUGUGCCAAGUAGAACCGUUGGGAAGACUUGGGGAAAGUCUUGUUGAACUUGCUGUAAAAAAACAGAAACUUUAGCGCUCACGAGAACUGCUGUCAUUUUUAUUUGAAGAGUGAUAUUUAUUUAAUUCUUUUUGCAGAUGAUUAAUAGAUAAAUUCCUCACAUCCAGCAAUUUAUUUUAGAAUUUUUGGGGUUCCAGAUCUUGCUCUAGCUACAGAUUACUACAGACUGUUCUGUUUUUGACAGAUUCGUUUUUUAGUGUGUUGUUUGCUUAUUUUGAUGAAUCUAUGGUUAGUAAAAUAGUUUAUAAUCCAUAUAGAAGUUGGAAUACAGUAGGUUUAACACCAAUAUAAAUAAAGAAUGAGUUCAUUACAGUACCUUGAAGUGGUCUUUUGUUUUCUUUCGCUAACGGAGCUCACGGGUUUUCUACUUUAAGUUUUAUGUUGUGAAGUUUUCAAGUUUUGGGUGAAUUCUUUUGAUGGAUUAUGGAACAAGGAGUGGCAAGAGCCUAAGCUUGGGGAUGCCCAUGGCACCCCCAAGAUAAUCCAAGUACACCAAAAAGUCAAAGCUUGGGGAUGCCCCGGAAGGCAUCCCCUCUUUCGUCCACUUCCAUCGGUAAUUUACUUGGAGCUAUAUUUUUAUUCACCAACAUGAUAUGUGUUUUGCUUGGAGCGUCUUGUAUUAUUUGUGUCUUUGUGUUUUAGUAUGCCACAAUCAUCCUUGAUGUACACACCUUUUGAGAGAGCCAUACAUGAAUUAAAAUUUGAUAGAAUACUGUAUGUGCUUCACUUAUAUCUUUUGAGCAUUAUAAUUUUGCUCUAUGUGCUUCACUUAUAUCUUUUUGAGAUAAGUAGUUUUGCUCUAUGUACUUCACUUAUAUCUUUUUGAGCUAUGUAGUUUUUCUCUAUGUGCUUCACUUAUAUCUUUUGAGCGUUAUAAUUUUGCUCUAUGUGCUUCACUUAGAUCUUUUAGAGCACGGUGGUGGAUUUGUUUUAAAGAAACUAUUGAUCUCUCAUGCUUCACUUAAAUUAUUUUGAGAGUCUCUUAAUAGCAUGGUAAUUUGCUUAAUAAUAAUAUGCUUGGUAUUCAAGAUUUGUGAAACUUUAUUUUGAGUGUGUUGAAUACUAAGAAAAGAUUGAAGCAUGAUAAUUGUUUUGAGAUAUGGAGGUGAUAAUAUUAAAGUCAUGCUAGUUGAGUAGUUGUGAAUUUAAAGAAUACUUGUGUUAAAGUUUGAGAUUCCCGUAGCAUGCACGUAUGGUGAACCGUUAUGUGAUGAAGUCGGAGCAUGAUUUAUUUAUUGAUUGUUUUCCUUAUGAGUGGCGGUCGGGGACGAGCGAUGGUCUUUUCCUACCAAUCUAUCCCCCUAGGAGCAUGCGCGUAAUACUUUGCUUUGAUAACUUCUAGAUUUUUGCAAUAAGUAUAUGAGUUCUUUAUGACUAAUGUUGAGUCCAUGCAUUAUACACACUCUCACCCUUCCACCUUUGCUAGCCUCUCUAAUACCGCGCACCUUUCCCCGGUAUCAUACACCUACCAUAUACCUUCCUCAAAACAGCCACCAUACCUACCUAUUAUGGCAUUUCCAUAGCCAUUCCAAGAUAUAUUGCCAUGCAACUUUCCACCGUUCCGUUCAUGACACAAUCAUCAUUGUCAUAUUGCAUAUCCCGGUACACCGCCGGAGGCAUUCAUAUAGAGUCAUAUUUUGUUCCAAGUAUCGAGUUGUAAUUGUUGAGUUGUAAGAAAAAUAAAAGUGUGAUGAUCAUCAUUAUUAGAGCAUUGUCCAGGUGAGGAAAGGAUGAUGGAGACUAUGAUUCCCCCAUAAGUCGGGAUGAGACUCCGGACAAAAAAAAGAGGCCAAAGAAGCCCAAAUAAAAAGACGCCAUAAAAAAGAGAAAAGGCCCAAAUAAAAAAAUGAGAGAAAAAGAGAGAUGGGACAAUGUUACUAUCCUUUUACCACACUUGUGCUUCAAAGUAGCACCAUGAUCUUCAUAGUAGAGAGUCUCUCAUGUUAUCACUUUCAUAUACUAGUGGGAAUCUUUCAUUAUAGAACUUGGCUUGUAUAUUCCAAUGAUGGGCUUCCUCAAAUUGCCCUAGGUCUUCAUGAGCAAGCAAGUUGGAUUCACACCCACUUAGUUUCUUUUUGAGCUUUCUUAUACUUAUAGCUCUAGUGCAUCCGUUGCAUGGCAAUCCCUACUCACUCAUAUUGAUAUCUAUUGAUGGGCAUCUCCAUAGCCCGUUGAUACGCCUAGUUGAUGUGAGACUGUCUUCUCCUUUUUGUCUUCUCCACAACCACCAUUCUAUUCCACCUAUAGUGCUAUAGCCAUGGCUCACGCUCAUGUAUUGCGUGAAGAUUGAAAAAGUUUUGAAAAAGUUAGAGUAUGAAACAAUUGCUUGGCUUGUCAUCGGGGUUGUGCAUGAUUUAAAUACUUUGUGUGGUGAAGAUAGAGCAUAGCCAGACUAUAUGAUUUUGUAGGGAUAACUUUCUUUGGCCGUGUUAUUUUGAGAAGACAUAAUUGCUUUCUUAGUAUGCUUGAAGUAUUAUUAUUUUUAUGUCAAUAUAAACUUUUGUCUUGAAUCUUUUGAAUCUGAAUAUUCACAUCACAAUUAAGAGGAUUUGCAUUGAAAUUAUGCCAAGUAGCACUCCGCAUCAAAAAUUCUCUUUUUAUCAUUUACCUACUCGAGGACGAGCGGGAAUUAAGCUUGGGGAUGCCUGAUACGUCUCCAACGUAUCUAUAAUUUUUUAUUGCUCCAUGCUAUAUUAUCUACUGUUUUGGACUAUAUUGGGCUUUAUUUUCCACUUUUAUAUUAUUUUUGGGACUAACCUAUUAACCGGAGGCCCAGCCUAGAAUUGCUGUUUUUGCCUAUUUCAGUGUUUCGAAGAAACAGAAUAUCAAACGGAGUCCAAACGGAAUGAAACCUUCGAGAACGUGAUUUUCUCACCGAACGUGAUCCAGGAGACUUGGACCCUACACCAAGGCAUCAGAGAGGCGGUCACGAGGGUGGGGGCGCGCCCCCUAGGGCACGCCCCCUGCCUCGUGGGCCCCUUGGUGCUCCACCGACGUACUCCUUCCUCCUAUAUAUACCUACGUACCCCCAAACGAUCAGAACAGGAGCCAUAAACCUAAUUCCACCGCCGCAACUUUCUGUAUCCACGAGGUCCCAUCUUGGGGCUUGUUCCGGAGCUCCGCCGGAGAGGUCCGUCAUCACAGAGGGCUUCUACAUCAUCAUAGACUCUCCGAUGAAGUGUGAGUAGUUUACCUCAGACCUUCGGGUCCAUAGUUAGUAGCUAGAUGGCUUCUUAUCUCUUUUUGGAUCUCAAUACAAAGUUCUCCCCCUCUCUUGUGGAGAUCUAUUCGAUGUAAUCUUCUUUUUGCGGUGUGUUUGUUGAGAUCGAUGAAUUGUGGGUUUAUGUUCAAGUCUAUCUAUGAAUAAUAUUUGAAUCUUCUCUGAAUUCUUUUAUGUAUGAUUGGUUAUCUUUGCAAGUCUCUUCGAAUUAUCCAUUUGGUUUGGUCAACUAGAUUGGUAGUUCUUGCCAUGGGAGAAGUGCUUAGCUUUGGGUUCGAUCUUGCGGUGUCCUUUCCUAGUGACAGAAGGGGCAGCAAGGCACGUAUUGCAUCGUUGCCAUCGAGGAUAACAAGAUCGUGUUUAUUUCAUAUUGCAUGAAUUUAUCUCUCUACAUCAUGUCAUCUUGCUUAAGGCGUUACUCUGUUUUUAACUUAAUACUCUAGAUGCAUGCUGGAUAGCGGUCGAUGAGUGGAGUAAUAGUAGUAGAUGCAGAAUCGUUUCGGUCUACUUGUCACGGACGUGAUGCCUAUAUACAUGAUAAUGCCUAGAUAUUCUCAUAACUAUGCUCAAUUCUGUCAAUUGCUCAACAGUAAUUUGUUCACCCACCGUAGAAUACUUAUGCUCUUGAGAGAAGCCACUAGUGAAACCUAUGCCCCCCGGGUCUAUUCUCAUCAUAUCUAUCUCCAUCACUUUAAUCUUGCUUUGCUUUUUUACUUUGCUUUUACUUUUCACUUUGCAUCUCUAUACCAAAAAUGCCAAAAAUAUUAUAUCUAUCAAAUCUCACUCUCGUAAGUGACCGUGAAGGGAUUGACAACCCCUAAUCGCGUUGGUUGCGAGUAGCUAUCGUUUUGUGCAGGUACGAGGGACUUGAGCGUGGCCUCCUACUGGAUUGAUACCUUGGUUCUCAAAAACUGAGGGAAAUACUUACGCUACUCUGAUGCAUCAUCCCUUCCUCUUCGGGGAAAAACCAACGCAAGCUCAAGAGGUAGCAGAGGUCUACGCAAAAGUCAACAUACCAAGUACCCAUCACAAACCCUUAUCUCCUGCAUUACAUUAUUUGCCAUUUGCCUCUCGUUUUCCUCUCCCCCACUUCACCCUUGCCGUUUUAUUCGCCCCCCUCUCUCUCUCUAUCCUCCCUCUCUUUCUCUAUUUGCCUCUUUUUUGCCCGUUCCUCAUUUGCUUGUGUGUUGGAUUGCUUGCUUGUCACGAUGGCUCAAGAUAACACUGAAUUGUGUGACUUUACCAAUACCAACAACAAUGAUUUUAUUAGCACUCCGAUUUCUCCUCUUACCGAUGCCGAAUCUUGUGAAAUUAAUGCUGCCUUGCUGAAUCUUGUCAUGAAAGAUCCUUUUUUCGGCCUUCCUAGUGAAGAUGCCGCUACCCAUCUAAAUAGCUUCGUUGAUUUGUGUGACAUGCAAAAGAAGAAAGAUGUGGACAAUGAUAUUGUUAAACUGAAGCUAUUUCCUUUUUCGCUUAGAGAUCGUGCUAAAGCUUGGUUUUCGUCUUUGCCUAAAAAUAGUAUUGAUUCUUGGGAUAAGUGCAAAGAUGCUUUUAUCUCUAAGUAUUUUCCUCCCGCUAAGAUCAUCUCUCUUAGAAACGAUAUUAUGAAUUUUAAGCAACUUGAUCAUGAACGUGUUGCACAAGCUUGGGAGAGGAUGAAAUUAAUGAUACGUAAUUGCCCAACACAUGGUUUAAAUUUGUGGAUGAUUAUACAACAAUUUUAUGCCGGAUUGAAUUUUGCUUCUAGAAAUCUUUUAGAUUCGGUCGCGGGAGGCAUUUUUAUGGAAAUAACUUUAGGAGAAGCUACUAAACUCCUAGAUAAUAUUAUCGUUAAUUCUUCUCAAUGGCACACCGAAAGAUCUACUAACAAGAAAGUGCAUGCGAUAGAAGAAAUUAAUGUUUUGGGUGGGAAGAUGGAUGAACUUAUGAAAUUAUUUGCUAAUAAAAGUGUUUCUUCUAAUCCUAAUGAUAUGCCUUUGUCUACUUUGAUUGAGAAUAAUAAUGAAUCUAUGGAUGUGAAUUUUGUUGGUAGGAAUAAUUUUGGUAACAACGCGUAUAGAGGAAACUUUAAUCCCAGGCCUUAUCCUAGUAAUUCCUAUAAUAAUUAUGCUAAUUCCUACAACAAUUCUUAUGUAAAUUUUAAUAAGAUACCCUCUGAUUUUGAAUCUAAUAUUAAAGAAUUUAUUACUUCGCAAAAGAAUUUCAAUGCUUUGAUUGAAGAAAAAUUCCUUAAGAUUGAUGAGUUGGCUAGGAACAUUGAUAGAAUUUCUCUUGAUAUUGAUUCUUUGAAACUUAGAUCUAUUUCACCUAAGCAUGAUAUCAAUGAGUCUCUCAAAGUCAUGAGAAUUUCCAUUGAUGAGUGCAAAGAAAGAACCGCUAGGAUGCGUGCUAAGAAAGAUUCCUUUAUAAGAGUGUGUUCUUCUAGUUUCCAUGAUAAUAAAGAUGAAGAUCUAAAAGUUAUUGAUGUCUCCCCUAUUAAAUAUUUGUUUUGCAAUAUGAAUCUUGGUAAUGAUGGGGCUGAAUAUGAUCCACCUUUACCUAGAAGGCGUUCCAAAAAUUCGGAGUUUUUAGAUCUUGAUGCUAAAUUUGAUAAAAGUGGGAUUGAAGAGAUCAAAACUCUAGAUGUUAAUGAACCUGCUAUUUUGGAUUUCAAGGAAUUUAAUUAUGAUAGCUGCUCUUUGAUAGAUUUUAUUUCCUUGUUCCAAUCUGUGCUAAAUUCUCCUCAUGCUUAUAGCCAAAAUAAAGCUUUUACCAAACAUAUCGUUGAUGCUUUGAUGCAAUCUUAUGAAGAAAAACUUGAGUUGGAAGUUUCUAUCCCUAGAAAACUUUAUGAUUAGUGGGAACCAACUAUUAAGAUUAAAAUUAAAGAUCAUGAAUGUUAUGCUUUGUGUGAUUUGGGUGCUAGUGUUUCCACGAUUCCAAAGACUUUGUGUGAUUUGUUAGGUUUCUGUGAUUUUGAUGAUUGCUCUUUAAACUUGCACCUUGCGUAUUCCACUAUUAAGAAACCUAUGGGAAGAAUUAAUGAUGUUCUUAUUGUUGCAAAUAGGAACUUUGUGCCCGUAGAUUUUAUUGUUCUUGACAUAGAUUGCAAUCCUUCAUGUCCUAUUAUUCUUGGUAGACCUUUCCUUAGAACGAUUGGUGCAAUUAUUGAUAUGAAGGAAGGACAUAUUAGAUUCCAAUUUCUGUUAAGGAAAGGCAUGGAACACUUCCCCAGAAAGAAAAUUAAAUUACCUUAUGAAUCUAUUAUGAGAACCACUUAUGGAUUGCCUACCAAAGAUGGCAUUGCUUUUUAUGCCUAGCUAGGGGCGUUAAACGAUAGCGCUUGUUGGGAGGCAACCCAAUCUUAUUUUUAUUCCUUGCUUUUUGCUCCUGUUUAGUAAUAAAUAAUUUAUCUAGCCUCUGUUUUGGUUGUGUUUAAUUAGUGUUUGUGCCAAGUAAAACCGUUGGGAAGACUUGGGGAGAGUCCUGUUAAUCUUGCUGUAAAAAAACAGAAACUUUAGCGCUCACGAGAACUGCUGCCAUUUUUAUUUGGAAAGUGCUAUUUAGUUAAUUAUUUUUGAAGAUUAUUAAUAAAUAAAAUUCCUCAAGUCCAGAAAUUUAUUUUAGAAUUUUUGGGGUUCCAGAUCUUGCGCUAGCUACAGAUUACUACAGACUGUUCUGUUUUUGACAGAUUCUGUUUUUCGUGUGUUGUUUGCUUAUUUUGAUGAAUCUAUGGCUAGUAAAAUAGUUUAUAAACCAUAGAUAAGUUGGAAUACAGUAGGUUUAACACCAAUAUAAAUAAAGAAUGAGUUCAUUACAGUACCUUGAAGUGGUCUUUUGUUUUCUUUCGCUAACGAAGCUCACGAGAUUUUCUACUUUAAGUUUUGUGUUGUGAAGUUUUCAAGUUUUGGGUAAGGAUUUGAUGGAUUAUGGAACAAGGAGUGGCAAGAGACUAAGAUUGGGGAUGACCAUGGCACCCCCAAGAUAAUCUAAGGACACCAAAAAGCCAAAGCUUGGAGAUGCCCCGGAAGGCAUCCCCUCUUUCGUCUACUUCCAUCGGUAACUUUACUUGGAGCUAUAUUUUUAUUCACCACAUGAUAUGUGUUUUGCUUGGAGCGUCUUGUAUGAUUUGAGUCUUUGAUUUUUAGUUUACCACAAUCAUCUUUGCUGUACACACCUUUUGAGAGACACACACAUGAUUCAGAAAUUAUUAGAAUACUCUAUGUGCUUCACUUAUAUCUUUUGAGUUAUAUAGUUUUGCUCUAGUACUUCACUUAUAUCUUUUAGAGCACAGUGGUGGAUUUAUUUUAUAGAAACUAUUGAUCUCUCAUGCUUCACUUAGAUUAUUUUGAGAGUCUUAAAUAGCAUGUUAAUUUGCUUAAAUAAUCCUAAUAUGCUAGGCAUUCAAGAUUAGUAAAAACUUUCUUAUGAGUGUUUUGAAUACUAAGAGAAGUUUGAUGCUUGAUGAUUGUUUUGAGAUAUGGAGGUAGUGAUAUUAAAGUUGUGCUAGUUGAGUAGUUGUGAAAUUGAGAAAUACUAGUAUUGAAGUUUGCAAGUCCCGUAGCAUGCACGUAUGGUAAACGUUAUGUAACAAAUUUGAAACAUGAGGUGUUCUUUCAUUGUCGUCCUUAUGAGUGGCGGUCGGGGACGAGCGGUGGUCUUUUCCUACCAAUCUAUCCCCCUAGGAGCAUGUGCGUAGUGCUUGGUUUUUGAUGACUUGUAGAUUUUUGCAAUAAGUAUGUGAGUUCUUUAUGACUAAUGUUGAGUCCAUGGAUUAUACACGCUCUCACGCUUCCAUCAUUGCUAGCCUCUUCGGUACCCUGCAUUGCCCUUUCUCACAUUGAGAGUUGGUGCAAACUUCGCCGGUGCAUCCAAACCCCGUGAUAUGAUACGCUCUUUCGCACAUAAACCUCCUUAUAUCUUCCUCAAAACAUCCACCAUACCUACCUAUUAUGGCAUUUUGAUAGCCAUUCCGAGAUAUAUUGCCAUGCAACUUUCCACCAUCCUGUUUAUCAUGACACGUUCAUCGUUGUCAUAUUGCUUUGCAUGAUCAUGUAGUUGACAUCGUGUUUUUGGCAAAGCCACCAUUCGUAAUUCUUUCAUACAUGUCACACUUGAUUCAUUGCAUAUCCCGGUACACUGCCGGAGGCAUUCAUAUAGAGUCAUACCUUGUUCUAGUAUCGAGUUGUAAUCAUUGAGUUGUAAAUAAAUAGAAGUGUGAUGAUCAUCAUUUAAUAGAGCAUUGUACCAAUAUAAAAAAAGAGAAAGGCCAAAAAAAGAAGAAGGCCCCAAAAAAAGAGAAAUGAAAAGGACAAUGCUACUAUCUUUUUUCCACAAUUGUGCUUCAAAGUAGCAUCAUGAUCUUCAUGAUAGAGAGUCUCUUGUUUCGUCACUUUCAUAUACUAGUGGGAAUUUUUCAUUAUAGAACCUGGCUUGUAUAUUCCAACAAUGGGCCUCCUCAAGUGCCCUAGGUCUUCGUGAGCAAGCAAGUUGGAUGCACACCCACUAGUUUCUUUUGUUGAGCUGUCAUACAUUUAUAGCUCUAGUGCAUCCGUUGCAUGGCAAUCCCUACUCAUUGCAUUAACAUCAAUCGAUGGGCAUCUCCAUAGCCCAUUGAUUAGCCUCGUUGAUGUGAGACUUUCUCCUUUUUUGUCUUCUCCAGAUAACCCCCAUCAUUAUACUCUAUUCCACCCAUAGUGCUAUAUCCAUGGCUCACGCUCAUGUAUUGCGUGAAGGUUUAUAAAGUUUGAGAUUACUAAAGUAUGAAACAAUUGCUUGGCUUAUCAUCGGGGUUGUGCAUGAUGAGAGCAUUCUUGUGUGACGAAAAUGGAGCAUGACUAAACUAUAUGAUUUUGUAGGGAUGAACUUUCUUUGGACAUGUUAUUUUGAGAAUACAUAAUUGCUUAGUUAGUAUGCUUGAAGUAUUAUUAUUUCUAUGUCAAUAUUAAACUUUUAUCUUGAAUCUUUCGGAUCUGAAUAUUCAUGCCACAAUUAAGAAGAAUUACAUUGAAAUUAUGCCUAGUAGCAUUCCACAUCAAAAAUUCUGUUUUUAUCAUUUACCUACUCGAGGACGGGCAGGAAUUAAGCUUGGGGAUGCUUGAUACGUCUCCAACGUAUCUAAAAUUUUUGAUUGUUACAUGCUAUAUUAUAUUCUGUUUUGGACAUUAUUGUGUUGGGGAACGUAGCAGAAUUUUAAAAUUUUCUACGCAUCACCAAGAUCUAUCUAUGGAGUCAUCUAGCAACGAGGGAGAGAGGAGUGCAUCCACAUACCCUUGUAGAUCACGAGCGGAAGCGUUCAAGAGAACGGGGUUGAUGGAGUCGUACUCGUCGUGAUCCAAAUCACCGAAGAUCCUAGCGCCGAACGGACGGCACCUCCGUGUUCAACACACGUACGGAGCGAGGACGUCUCCCGCGCCUUGAUCCAGCAAGGAGGAGGGAGAGGUUGAGGAAGAGGGCUCCAACAGCAGCACGACGGCAUGGUGGUGGUGAAGCUGCAGGACUCCGGCAGGGCUUCGCCAAGCUCUUAUGGAGGAGGAGAGGUGUUGGGGAGGGGAGGGGCUGCGCCUUGGAUGUUGUCUACAGCCCUCCCCUUGCCCCUCUAUUUAUAGGGGAAGGAGGAAGGGGGCCGGCCCCCUCUAGAUGAGUUCUAGAGGGGGGGCGGCGGCCAAGGGGAGGGGGCUUGCCCCCCAAGCAAGGGGGGCGCCCCCUUUAGGGUUUCCCCCCAACCCUAGGCGCAUGGGCCCAAGGGGGGGAUGCGGCCAGCCCAUGUAGGGAUGGUUCCCUUUCCUCUACAGCCCAUUAGGCCCUCCAAGAGAGGUGGCCCCUCCCGGUGGACCCCCGGAACCCCUCCGAUGGCCCCAGUACAAUACCGAUAUGCCCCCGAACCUUUCCGGUGACCGUAUGUCAACUUCCUACAUAUAAAUCUUCACCUCCAGACCAUUCCGGAACUCCUCGUGACGUCCGGGAUCUCAUCCGGGACUCCGAACAACAUUAGGUAGUCACAUACAAGUCUUCCUAACAACCCUAGCGUCACCGAACCUUAAGUGUGUAGACCCUACGGGUUCGGGAGACAUGCAGACAUGACCGAGACGACUCUCCGGUCAAUAACCAACAGCAGGAUCUGGAUACCCAUGUUGGCUCCCACAUGCUCCACGAUGAUCUCAUUGGAUGAACCACGAUGUCGAGGAUUCAAUCAAUCCGUAUACAAUUCCCUUUGUCAAUCGGUACAUUACUUGCCCGAGACUCGAUCGUCGGUAUCCCAAUACCUUGUUCAGUCUCGUUACCAGCAAGUCACUUUACUCGUAUUGUAAUGCAUGAUCCCGUGAUCAACCACUUGAUCACAUUGAGCUCAUUAUGAUGAUGCAUUACCGAGUGGGCCCAGAGAUACCUCUCCGUCAUACGGAGUGACAAAUCCCAGUCUCAAUUCAUGCCAACCCAACAGACACUUUCGGAGAUACCUGUAAUGUACCUUUAUAGUCACCCAGUUACGUUGUGACGUUUCGCACACCCAAGGCACUCCUACGGUAUCUAGGAGUUGCACAAUCUCAUGGUCUAAGGAAAUGAAACUUGACAUUCAGAAAAGCUACAGCAAACGAACUACACGAUCUUUGAGCUAUGCUUAGGAUUGGGUCGUGUCCAUCACAUCAUUCUCCUAAUGAUGUGAUCCCGUUAUCAAUGACAUCCAAUGUCCAUAGUCAGGAAACCAUGACUAUCUUUUGAUCAACGAGCUAGUCAACUAGAGGAUCACAAGGGACGUGUUGUGGUCUAUGUAUUCACACAUGUAUUACGAUUUCCAGAUAACACAAUUAUAGCAUGAACAAUAGACAAUUAUCAUGAACAAAGAAAUAUAAUAAUAACCAUUUUAUUAUUGCCUCUAGGGCAUAUUUCCAAUAGUCUCCCACUUGCACUAGAGUCAAUAUUCUAGUUACAUUGUGAUGAAUCGAACACCCAUGCAGUUCUGGUGUUGAUCAUGUUUUGCUCUAGGGAGAGGUUUAGUCAACGGAUCUGCUACAUUCAGGUCCGCAUGUACUUUACAAAUCUCUAUGUCUCCAUUUUGAACACUUUCACGAAUGGAGUUGAAGCGACGCUUGAUAUGCCUGGUCUUCCUGUGAAACCUGGGCUCCUUGGCAAGGGCAAUAGCUCCAGUGUUGUCACAGAAGAGAGUCAUCGGGCCCGACGCAUUGGGUAUGACUCCUAGGUCGGUAAUGAACUCCUUUACCCAGACUGCUUCUUGUGCUGCCUCCGAGGCUGCCAUGUACUCCACUUCACAUGUAGAUCCCGCCACAACGCUUUGCUUGCAACUGCACCAGCUUACUGCCCCACCAUUCAAAAUAUACAUGUAUCCGGUUUGUGACUUAGAGUCAUCCAGAUCUGUGUCGAAGUUAGCAUCGACGUAACCCUUUACGACGAGCUCUUCGUCACCUCCAUAAACGAGAAACAUUUCCUUAAUCCUUUUCAGGUACUUCAGGAUAUUCUUGACCGCUGUCCAGUGUUCCAUGCCGGGAUUACUUUGGUACCUUCCUACCAAACUUACGACAAGGUUUACAUCAGGUCUGGUAGACAUCAUAGCAUACAUGAUAGACCCUAUGGCCGAGGCAUAGGGGACGACACUCAUCUUUUCUGUAUCUUCUGCCGUGGUCGGGCAUUGAGCCGUGCUCAAUCUCGUACCUUGCAAUACAGGCAAGAACCCCUUCUUUGACUGAUCCAUUUUGAACUUCUUCAAUAUCUUGUCAAGGUAUGUACUCUGUGAAAGACCAAUGAGGCGUCUCGAUCUAUCUCCAUAGAUCUUGAUGCCUAAUAUAUAAGCAGCUUCUCCAAGGUCCUUCAUUGAAAAACACUUGUUCAAGUAGGCCUUUAUGCUUUCCAAGAAUUCUAUAUCAUUUCCCAUCAAUAGUAUGUCAUCCACAUACAAUAUGAGAAAUGCUACAGAGCUCCCACUCACUUUCUUGUAAAUGCAGGCUUCUCCAUAAGUCUGUAUAAACCCAAAUGAUUUGAUCAUCUCAUCAAAACGAAUGUUCCAACUCCGAGAUGCUUGCACCAGCCCAUAAAUUGAGCGUUGGAGCUUGCACACCUUGUCAGCAUUCUUAGGAUCGACAAAACCUUCUGGCUGCAUCAUAUACAAUUCUUCCUUAAGGAAACCAUUAAGGAAUGCCAUUUUGACGUCCAUUUGCCAUAUCUCAUAAUCAUAGAAUGCGGCAAUUGCUAACAUGAUUCGGAUGGACUUCAGCUUUGCUACGGGUGAGAAAGUCUCAUCGUAGUCAACCCCUUGAACUUGUCGAUAAACCUUAGAGACAAGCCGAGCAUUAUAGAUGGUCACAUUACCAUCCACGUAUGUCUUCUUCUUAAAGAUCCAUUUAUUUUCUAUGGCUCGCCGAUCAACGGGCAAGUCAGUCAAAGUCCACACUUUGUUUUCAUACAUGGAUCCUAUCUCGGAUUUCAUGGCUUCCAGCCAUUUGUCGAAAUUUGGGCCCGCCAUCGCUUCUUCAUAGUUCGAAGGUUCACCGUUGUCUAACAACAUGAUUUCCAAGACAGGGUUGCCGUACCACUCUGGUGCGGAACGUGUCCUUGUGGACCUACGAAGUUCAGUAGCAACUUGAUCUGAAGUUUCAUGAUCAUCAUCAUCAACUUCCUCUCUAGUCGGUGCAGGCACCUCUGGAACAUUUUCUUGAGCUGCGCCACUUACCGGUUCAAGAGGCAAUACUUCAUCAAGUUCUACUUUCCUCCCACUUAUUUCUUUUGAGAGAAACUCUUUCUCUAGAAAGGACCCAUUCUUGGCAACAAAGAUCUUGCCUUCGGAUCUGAGGUAGAAGGUAUACCCAACAGUUUCUUUAGGGUAUCCUAUGAAGACGCAUUUUUCCGACUUGGGUUCGAGCUUUUCAGGUUGAAGUUUCUUGACAUAAGCAUCACAUCCCCAAACUUUUAGAAACAACAGCUUAGGUUUCUUCCCAAACCAUAAUUCAUACGGUGUCGUCUCAACGGAUUUCGACGGAGCCCUAUUUAAAGUGAAUGCGGUAGUCUCUAAAGCAUAGCCCCAAAAUGACAGCGGUAAAUUGGUAAGAGACAUCAUAGAUCGCACCAUAUCCAAUAGAGUGCGAUUACGACGUUCAGACACACCAUUACGCUGAGGUGUUCCAGGCGGUGUGAGUUGUGAAACUAUUCCACAUUUUCUUAAGUGUGUGCCAAAUUCGUGACUCAAGUAUUCUCCCCCACGAUCUGAUCGCAAGAACUUGAUUUUCUUGUCACAUUGAUUCUCAACCUCACUCUGAAAUUCCUUGAACUUUUCAAAGGUCUCAGACUUGUGUUUCAUUAAGUAGACAUACCCAUAUCUACUCAAGUCAUCAGUGAGGGUGAGAACAUAACGAUAGCCACCGCGAGCCUCAACACUCAUUGGACCGCACACAUCAGUAUGUAUGAUUUCCAAUAAGUUGGUUGCUCGCUCCAUUGUUCCUGAGAACGGAGUCUUGGUCAUUUUACCCAUGAGGCAUGGUUCGCACGUGUCAAAUGAUUCAUAAUCAAGAGACUCUAAAAGUCCAUCUGCAUGGAGCUUCUUCAUGCGUUUGACACCUAUGUGACCAAGGCGGCAGUGCCACAAGUAUGUGGGACUAUCAUUAUCAUCCUUACAUCUUUUGGUAUUCACACUAUGAAUAUGUGUAGCAUUACGCUCGAGAUUCAUUAAGAAUAAACCAUUCACCAUCGGAGCAUGACCAUAAAACAUAUCUCUCAUAUAAAUAGAACAACCAUUAUUCUCGGAUUUAAAUGAGUAGCCAUCUCGAAUUAAACGAGAUCCUGAUACAAUGUUCAUGCUCAAAGCUGGCACUACAUAACAAUUAUUGAGGUUUAAAACUAAUCCCGUAGGUAAAUGUAGAGGCAGCGUGCCGACGGCGAUCACAUCGACCUUGGAACCAUUCCUGACGCGCAUCGUCACCUCGUCCUUCGCCAGUCUCCGCUUAUUCCGCAACUCCUGCUUUGAGUUACAAAUGUGAGCAACCGCACCGGUAUCAAAUACCCAGGAGCUACUACGAGUACUGGUAAGGUACACAUCAAUUACAUGUAUAUCACAUAUACCUUUAGUGUUGCCGGCCUUCUUGUCCGCUAAGUAUUUGGGGCAGUUCCGAUUCAAGUGACCACUUCCCUUGCAAUAAAAACACUCAGUCUCGGGCUUGGGUCCAUUCUUUGGCUUCUUCCUGGCAGCUUGCUUACCGGGCACGGCAACUCCCUUGCCGUUCUUCUUGAAGUUCUUCUUACCCUUGCCUUUCUUGAACUUAGUGGUUUUAUUCACCAUCAACACUUGAUGUUCCUUUUUGACUUCUAGCUCUGCUGAUUUCAGCAUUGAAUAUACCCCAGGAAUGGUCUUUUCCAUCCCCUGCAUAUUGAAGUUCAUCACAAAGCUCUUGUAGCUCGGUGGAAGCGACUGAAGGAUUCUGUCAAUGACCGCGUCAUCCGGGAGAUUAACUCCCAGCUGAGUCAAGCGGUUAUGCAACCCAGACAUUUUGAGUUUGUGCUCACUGACAGAACUAUUUUCCUCAAUCUUACAGCUGAAGAACUUGUCGGAGACUUCAUAUCUCUCGACCCGGGCAUGAGCUUGAAAAACCAUUUUCAGCUCUUCGAACAUCUCAUAUGCUCCAUGUCUCUCAAAACGCUUUUGGAGCCCCGGUUCUAAGCUGUAAAGCAUGCCGCACUGAACGAGGGAGUAAUCAUCAGCACGUGACUGCCAAGCUUUCAUAACGUCUUGGUUCUGUGGGACGGGUGCGUCACCUAGCGGUGCUUCUAGGACAUAAUCUUUCUUGGCAGCUAUGAGGAUGAUCCUCAGGUUCCGGACCCAGUCCGUAUAGUUGCUGCCAUCGUCUUUCAACUUGGUUUUCUCUAGGAACGCGAUGAAGUUGAGGACAACAUGGUCCAUUUGAUCUACAAGACAUAUUGUAAAGAUUUUAGACUAAGUUCAUGAUAAUUAAGUUCAUCUAAUCAAAUUAUUCAAUGAACUCCCACUCAGAUAGACAUCCCUCCAGUCAUCUAAGUAUAACAUGAUCCGAGUUAACUAGGCCGUGUCUGAUCAUCACGUGAGACGGAGUAGUCAACAUCGGUGAACAUCUUCAUGUUGAUCGUAUCUUCUAUAUGACUCAUGCUCGACCUUUUGGUCUUCUGUGUUCCGAGGCCAUGUCUGUACAUGCUAGGCUCGUCAAGUCAACCUAAGUGUAUUGCAUGUGUAAAUCUGGCUUACGCCCGUUGUAUUCGAACGUUAGAAUCUAUCACACCCGAUCAUCACGUGGUGCUUCGAAACUACGAACCUUCGCAACGGUGCACAGUUAGGGGGAACACUUUCUUGAAAUUAUUUCGAGGGAUCAUCUUAUUUAAGCUACCGUCGUUCUAAGCAAAUAAGAUGUAAAACAUGAUAAACAUCACAUGCAAUCAAAUAGUGACAUGAUAUGGCCAAUAUCAUUUGCUCCUUUUGAUCUCCAUCUUCGGGGCUCCAUGAUCAUCGUUGUCACCGGCAUGACACCAUGAUCUCCAUCAUCAUGAUCUCCAUCAUCGUGUCUUCUUAAAGUUGUCUCGUCAUCUAUUACUUCUACUACUAUGGCUAACGCUUUAGCAAUAAAGUAAAGUAAUUACAUGACGUUUAUGUUGACACGCAGGUCAUAAAUAAAUAAAUACAACUCCUAUGGCUCCUGCCGGUUGUCAUACUCAUCGACAUGCAAGUCGUGAUUCCUAUUACAAGAACAUGAUCAUCUCAUACAUCACAUAUAUCAUUCAUCACAUCCUUUGGCCAUAUCACAUCACAAAACACUUGCUGCAAAAACAAGUUAGACGUCCUCUAAUUGUUUUCGCAAGUUUUUACGUGGCUGCUAUAGGUUUCUAGCAAGAACGUUUCUUACCUACGCCAAAACCACAACGUGAAUUGCCAAUUUCUAUUUACCCUUCAUAAGGACCCUGUUCAUCGAGUCCGAUUCGGCUAAAGUGGGAGAGACAGACACCCGCCAGCCACCUUAUGCAACUAGUGCAUGUCAAUCGGUGGAACCAGUCUCACGUAAGCGUACGUGUAAGGUCAAUCAGGGCCGCUUCAUCCCACGAUGCCGCCGAAUCAAGACAAGACUAGUAACGGCAAGCAAAUUGACAAUUUCGAUGCCCAUAAUUGCUUUGUGUUCUACUCGUGCAUAGUAACUAUGCAUAGACCUAGCUCAUGAUGCCACUGUUGGGGAACGUAGCAGAAUUUUAAAAUUUUCUACGCAUCACCAAGAUCUAUCUAUGGAGUCAUCUAGCAAUGAGGGAGAGAGGAGUGCAUCUACAUACCCUUGUAGAUCACGAGCGGAAGCGUUCAAGAGAACGAGGUUGAUGGAGCCGUACUCGUCGUGAUCCAAAUCACCGAAGAUCCUAGCGCCGAACGGACGGCACCUCCGCAUUCAACACACAUACGGAGCGAGGACGUCUCCCGCGCCUUGAUCCAGCAAGGAGGAGGGAGAGGUUGAGGAAGAGGGCUCCAACAGCAGCACGAUGGCGUGGUGGUGGUGAAGUUGCAGUACUCCGGCAGGGCUUCGCCAAGCUCUUAUGGAGGAGGAGAGGUGUUGGGGAGGGGAGGGGCUGCGCCUUGGAUGUUGUCUACAGCCCUCCCCUUGCCCCUCUAUUUAUAGGGGAAGGAGGAAGGGGGCCGGCCCCUCUAGAUGAGAUCUAGAGGGGGGGCGGCCAAGUGGAGGGGGCUUGCCCCCCAAGCAAGGGGGGCGACCCCUUUAGGGUUCCCCCCCCAACCCUAGGCGCAUGGGCCCAAGGGGGGGAUGCGGCCAGCCCAUGUAGGGCUGGUUCCCUUUCCUCUACAGCCCAUGAGGCCCUCCGAGAGAGGUGGCCCCUCCCGGUGGACCCCCGGAACCCCUCCGAUGGCCCCAGUACAAUACUGAUAUGCCCCCGAACCUUUCCGGUGACCGUAUGUCAACUUCCUACAUAUAAAUAUUCACCUCCGGACCAUUCCGGAACUCCUCGUGGCGUCCGGGAUCUCAUCCGGGACUCUGAACAACAUUCAUUAAUCACAUACAAGUCUUCCUAACAACCCUAGCAUCACCGAACCUUAAGUGUGUAGACCCUAUGGGUUCGGGAGACAUGCAGACAUGAUCGAGACGACUCUCCGGUCAAUAACCAACAACGGGAUCUGGAUACCCAUGUUGGCUCCCACAUGCUCCACGAUGAUCUCAUCGGAUGAACCACGAUGUCGAGGAUUCAAUCAAUCCGUAUACAAUUCCCUUUGUCAAUCGGUACGUUACUUGCCCGAGACUCGAUCGUCGGUAUCCCAAUACCUUGUUCAGUCUCGUUACCAGCAAGUCACUUUACUCGUACCGUAAUGCAUGAUCCCGUGAUCAACCACUUGAUCACAUUGAGCUCAUUAUGAUGAUGCAUUAUCGAGUGGGCCCAGAGAUACCUCUCCGUCAUACGGAGUGACAAAUCACAGUCUCGAUUCAUGCCAACCCAACAGACACUUUCGGAGAUACCUGUAAUGUACCUUUAUAGUCACCUAGUUACGUUGUGACGUUUGGCACACCCAAGGCACUCCUACGGUAUCCGGGAGUUGCACAAUCUCAUGGUCUAAGGAAAUGAAACUUGACAUUCAGAAAAGCUACAGCAAACGAACUACACGAUCUUUGAGCUAUGCUUAGGAUUGGGUCUUGUCCAUCACAUCAUUCUCCUAAUGAUGUGAUCCCAUUAUCAAUGACAUCCAAUGUCCAUAGUCAGGAAACCAUGACUAUCUUUUGGUCAAUGAGCUAGUCAACUAGAGGAUCACUAGGGACGUGUUGUGGUCUAUGUAUUCACACAUGUAUUACGAUUUCCGGAUAACACAAUUAUAGCAUGAACAAUAGACAAUUAUCAGGAAUAAAGAAAUAUAAUAAUAACCAUUUUAUUAUUGCCUCUAGGGCAUAUUUCCAACAUAUUGGGCUUUAUUAUACACUUUUAUAUUAUUUUUGGGACUAACCUACUAACCGGAGGCCCAGCCCAGAAUUGCUGUUUUUUUUGCCUAUUUUAGGGUUUCAAAGAAAAGGAAUAUCAAACGGAGUCCAAACGGAAUGAAACCUUCGGGAACGUGAUUUUUGGAAUGAACAAGAUCCAGGAGACUUGGACCCUAUGUCAAGCAACCAACAGGUANNNNNNNNNNNNNNNNNNNNNNNNNNNNNNNNNNNNNNNNNNNNNNNNNNNNNNNNNNNNNNNNNNNNNNNNNNNNNNNNNNNNNNNNNNNNNNNNNNNNNNNNNNNNNNNNNNNNNNNNNNNNNNNNNNNNNNNNNNNNNNNNNNNNNNNNNNNNNNNNNNNNNNNNNNNNNNNNNNNNNNNNNNNNNNNNNNNNNNNNNNNNNNNNNNNNNNNNNNNNNNNNNNNNNNNNNNNNNNNNNACCUACGUACCCCCAAACGAUCAAAUACAAAGCCAAAACCCUAAUUCCACUGCCGUAACUUUCUGUAUCCACGAGAUCCCAUCUUGAGGCCUGUUUCGGAGCUCCGCGAGAGGGGGCAUCGAUCACGGAGGGAUUCUACAUCAACACCAUAGCCCUUCCGAUGAAGUGUGAGUAGUUUACCUCAGACCUCCGGGUCCAUAGUUAUUAGCUAGAUGGCUUCUUCUCUCUUUUUGGAUCUCAAUACAAAGUUCUCCCCCUCUCUUGUGGAGAUCUAUUCGAUGUAAAAUUCUUUUGCGGUGUGUUUGUUGAGACCAAUGAAUUGUGGGUUUAUGAUCAAGUUUAUCUAUGAACAAUAUUUGAAUCUUCUCUAAAUUCUUUUAUGUAUGAUUGGUUAUCUUUGCAAGUCUCUUCGAAUUAUUAGUUUGGUUUGGCCUACUAGAUUGAUCUUUCUUGCAAUGGGAGAAGUGCUUAGCUUUGGGUUCAAUCUUGCGGUGUCCUUUCACAAUGACAGUAGGGGCAGCAAGGCACGUAUUGUAUUGUUGCCAUCGAGGAUAACAAGAUGGGUUUUUCAUCAUAUUGCAUGAGUUUAUCCCUCUACAUCAUGUCAUCUUGCUUAAAGCGUUACUCUGUUCUUAUGAACUUAAUACUCUAGAUGCAUGCUGGAUAGCGGUCGAUGUGUGGAGUAAUAGUAGUAGAUGCAGGCAGGAGUCGGUCUACUUGUCUUGGACGUGAUGCCUAUAUACAUGAUCAUACCUAGAUAUUCUCAUAACUAUGCUCAAUUUUGUCAAUUGCUCAACAGUAAUUUGUUCACCCACCGUAAAAUACCUAUGCUCUUGAGAGAAGCCACUAGUGAAACCUAUGGCCCCUGGGUCUAUCUUCAUCAUAUUAAUCUUCCAACACUUAGUUAUUUUCUUUGCUUUUAUUUUACUUUGCAUCUUUAUCAUAAAAAUACCAAAAAUAUUAUCUUAUCAUAUCUAUCAGAUCUCACUCUCGUAAGUGGCCGUGUAGGGAUUGACAACCCCUUAUCGCAUUGGUUGCGAGGAUUUAUUUGUUUUGUGUAGGUGCGAGGGACUGGCGCGUAGCCUCCUACUGGAUUGAUACCUUGGUUCUCAAAAACUGAGGGAAAUACUUACGCUACUUUGCCGCAUCACCCUUUCCUCUUACGGGGGAAAACCAACGCAGUGCUCAAGAGGUAGCACUUGCAUUAGAGUAGUGUAGCAUGUUACUGCUUUUGGUUAAUCCUAUUCUAUUGCAUAGCAUGUCAUUGUUGCUACAGUUGUUGAUACCUUACCUGCAAUCCUAAAUGCUUAGUAUAGUUUGCUAGUUUAUCAUCAGUGACCCUACGUUCUUGUCCAUCUGCCAUGCUAUACUAUCGAGCCGUGAUCACUAGGGAGGUGAUCACGGGUUUAUACUAUAUAUCUUAUACUUGAUAGAUCUGAUGACUAAAGAUGGGUCGGCUCGUAGAGUACCCGCGAGUGAUUCAUGGAUUGGGAGCUGAAAGGACCUUUGUCCCGACGACCCUCUGGGUGGAUCUUUGUGGUGGAGCGACAGAGCAGGUUGAGACCACCUAGGAGAGAGGUGGGCCUGGCCCUGGUCGGCGUCCGUGGUUACUUCUAUAUAACACGCUUACCGAGAUCUUGGUAUUUGAUCUGAGUCUGGCCACUGGCCUAUACGCACUAACCAACUACGUGGGAAUAGUUAUGGGCACUCGACGUCGUGGUAUCAGCCGAAGCCUUCUUGACGUCAGCGACUGAGCGGCGCGCGCCGGUUGGACCGCGUAAUGCAACUUCCUUUGUAAUGGACGUUGCUAGAUCUGCUCACCGGCCACGUACUAAUAACCCACAAGUAUAGGGGAUCAAUUGUAGCAUCUUUCGAUAAGUAAGAGUCUCGAACCCAACGAGGAGCUAAAGGUAGAACAAAUAUUCCCUCAAGUUCUAUCGACCACCGAUACAACUCUACGCACGCUUAACAUUCGCUUUACCUAGAACAAGUAUGAAACUAGAAGUACUUUCUAGGUGUUUUUGGAUAGGUCUGCAAGAUAAUAAAGAGCGCGUAAAUAAAAAGUAGGGGCUGUUUAGAUAAAGAAACAAUAAAAUUAGUAUAGCAAGUGUGGAAAAGUGGUGGUAGGAGUUGUGAAAUUGUCCCUAAGCAAUUGACUACUUUACUAUACCGAUAGCAAGUUUUAUGUGGGAGAGGCCACUGCUAGCAUGUCAUCCCUGACUUGGAAUUCUAUGCACUUAUGAUUGGAACUAUUAGCAAGCAUCCGCAACUACUAACGUUCAUUAAGGUAAAACCCAACCAUAGCAUUAAGAUAUAUUGGUCCCCCGUUGGUAACCCACAAGUAUAGGGGAUCGCAAUAGUUUUCGAGGGUAGAGUAUUCAACCAAAUUUAUUGAUUCGACACAAGGGGAGCCAAAGAAUAUUCUCAAGUAUUAGCAGUUGAGUUGUCAAUUCAACCACACCUGUAAACUUAAUAUCUGCAGCAAAGGGUUUAGUAGCAAAGUAAUAUGAUAGUAGUGGUAACGGUAGCAAAAGGUAAUGAUAGCAAAAGUAAUGUUUUUGGUAUUUUGUAGUGAUGAUAGCAACAACAACGAAGAAGUAAAUGAGCGAAGAACAAUAUAUGGAAAGCUCGUAGGCAAUGGAUCGGUGAUAGAGAAUUAUGCCGGAUGCGGUUCAUCAUGUAAGAGUCAUAACCUAGGGUGACACAGAACUAGCUCCAAUUCAUCAAUGUAAUGUAGGCAUGUAUUCUAAAUAUAGUGUGACGCCCGGGUAAUUAAGCUACAGUAACCCUCUGGAAAUGAUGCCACGUCACCUCGGUUAGUGUUGAUAAUCUCACGUUAGUUCGAAACCGGUUCAAAAUUCAAAUUCAAAAUAUGGCAAACAACAAAGUUUUCAAACAUUAAAACAAAAAUGUUCGGACGGUGCCAAAUAUUACAUAGGUAAUUAUAGUGAAGAAAGCACAUGUUUAGAAUAUAUUUAAAUGCCCUAAAUUAAACAAAACAGAAAAGGAAAAUAAAUAAAAGAAAAGAAAACACAAAAAAAAGAAAAC